Molecule: long non-coding RNA, 79131 nt
Filed under: Nicotiana tabacum (common tobacco)
Lineage: Eukaryota; Viridiplantae; Streptophyta; Magnoliopsida; Solanales; Solanaceae
Description: long non-coding RNA (NTAB_LNC010998)
Source: RNAcentral
ACCCAUUUUCUCUACCAAACCCAUUAUCUUCUCACUCAUCCCCAUUACAUUAAAUAAAUAUAUCACACCACCCCAUUAUAUUUUGUCCCCCAUGCUUCACUAAACAAAUACAAGAUUCCUCCCCACUAAAUUUUGUCUUGUCCCCCCUUUAUAUUAAACAACUAUAUCAUAACCCACCCCAUUACAUUUUGUCCCCCAUGCUUCAUAUAAAAAAUUACAAAAUGUACAAUUCCAAAACUACCCCUCCGACCUUAUUACAAAUUACUAUUUUACCCCCGAACGUACUACAAAUUACCAAACUAGCCCAUCAGAUAUAACAAUCAAUUAAUCAAACUUAACCAAAAUAUAGACAGUAUGAUCAAUUUCUAACAAUGUCUAAACAACAAAUCACAUGAACAUGAUUUCUUCAAUAUUUCAACAACAAAUCACAUGAACAUGAUUUCUUCAACAAUUCAACAACAAAUCACAUGAACACAAAUUGAACAACAAAGAACAACUAAAAUUUGAUUGAACAAUAUUUUAGCAACAAACAAUCCUAUUUUCUGAUUCAACAACAACAACAAACAAGUGUAUUUAGAUUUCUAAAUUCAAUCAUAUGGAACUUAAAAUUAACUCUAACAACAUUACAACCAACAAUUCCUAUAUUAAAACUUAGNNNNNNNNNNNNNNNNNNNUUAANNUUCAAUUUGUAUCUCACCAACAUUAGACUAACAACUUUUACCUAAACAAUAAAACAAACAUGAAAUAAACAUGAAAAACCACUAAUUAAAUUUCCAUUUGAAAUCUGAAAAUUAAUUCAAUCAAAACACACGAACAAACUAAAAAUUAAUUCAACGAUGAACAACGAACAAAACAAGAAUCAAAUAUUUAACGAUUUUAACUUUGAGAAAUAUAAAAACGAAAUAUGGACAAAAAUAAAACUCAAAAACAACUAACCAUAGAUGAAUCAACGACGAACUCGAUCGUAAACAAACCUGUCCGGGUUUCGACUCAAAUAAAAAUAAACCUUCGAACUUUGACGAGACGAAGAAGAUGAAGCAACGUGAAGCAGAAACACGAAGCAACUACUGCGACUAGCAGCAGUAGUCCAUCGAGUAAGGAAGACGAAGCAGCAUGAAGCAUUAGCAGUGGGGAGCAGAAACGGAGGAAGCAACAUCGCUUCACAGUAGAGCUGGUCGACGCACCUGUGCAUGCUCGUCCAUGGUGGAGAAGCAGCAGCUCGGAGGAGAAGGAACAGCAGCAACAUGAGUUGAAUAAACAUGGACGCCGAUGGUCAUUUGGACGUGACGAUGACGAAGAUAACAAUUAAGCUAUACGCGGCCAGCAGUUCACGUAGCUCGCGACUAGCUAUAUCGCGCGACAGCAACAGUUCAUGCCUGGGCAAUAACCUGGCGACUGGGUUCAUCUGGGAUUCUGUCCGGCGAUGAGGUCGUCCAAUAGAUGGUCGUUCAUGGGACGCAAAGGGGAAGGAAGAAGAAAAAGCAGAUGCGAUGGAGUUUUUUUUUUUCUGUUUUUGAGAUCGUUUAUGGUUUUUGAGGUCGUUCAUGGGAGGGCAGCUUGGAGGUGUUGGUGCGUGUGUGUGUGAGUGUGACGUUAGGAAGACAUGGUGGAGCUUUGAGGGGGAAGCCAUGGAUGACCUUGGAGAAACUUUGGAGGAAGAAGAAGAAGAUAGAAAGGGGGGUGGCGGAAGAGCUAGUCUUUUAGGGUUUUUCUUUGGUUUUUUUUUGUUUUGUUUUGUUUUUAUGAAAAAUGAAAGACAAAUGGGGUUUGGGUCUUUUGGGUUAUGGACUGGGUCGACCUAGUUCGAAAUGGACUGGGUCGUUUGGGAAGAUUGGGUCAUUUUUUGGGUCUGUGGCUUGAAAUCGAAGAAGAGGCCCAAUUCCGACUUUCUUUAUUUUUUGCUCUCUUUUCUUCUUUUAUUUUUCUAAAACUAAAUUAUAAAAAUACUUAAACUACUAUUUAAGAACUAAAUUAAGUUAUAAAAGCGCAAAUUAACUCCCAAUAACAAUUAACGCACAAUUAAGUAAUAAUUAAGCAUAAAAUUGUAUAUUUGGACCUUAAAUGCUAAAAAUGCAAACGAUGCCUAUUUUUGUAAAUUUUUUAUUUUUUGUAAACAAGCUUAAUUACUAACAAUUGUAGAAUUAAAUCCUACAUGCGAAAUGCGACAUAUUUUUGUAUUUUUAAUAAUUUAACAAAUAAACAUGCACAGACAAAUACAAAUAAUUAUUCAAAAAUAUCACAAAAUAUCACAAAAAUUACACACCAAGGAAAAUUAUUUUAUUUUUGAUUUUUUUGGGAGUAAUUCUCGUAUAGGGCAAAAAUCACAUGCUUACACCUUUAAUCAAUUAGUGGAGAGGAGUUGUACUGAAUAACACAAAUAGCUUAUGGCCCCUUCAAAUUUUUAGUUUUCCUUUAAAAUAAGUCGAGGUGCGCCACGCCAAAUAAAAUCUCAAAUGUGUGUCCUUCAAUUAUUUAUUUCUUUUAAAUCCUUAGGACUCGAGGCACGCCAUUUAGCGAAUUUCCCAUGGCCCUCACAAAGUUAAGAACACGUAGUUGCUUUAGGCGCGUUAUUUUAACAACUUACCUUCCUAAACUCGGGUGUGCAUUUCAUGUGACCCAAAUCCAAAUCUUAACACGUUGACUAAAAUGUGUUUAGGAUUGCGGGUGCAUUUCAUGUGGCGCGGUCCAAAGGCACAUUUUCAACGACGUUCAAUCUUCUUUAAAAAUUAAUUAAAAGAGGUUAAAACUAAAAAUCUGCACAUAGGUUCAAAAUUGUUUAAAAUCAGAUAAUUAAGCCGAAUAUAACAGUUGAGCGACCGUGCUAGAACCACGGAACUCGGGAAUGCCUAACACCUUCUCCCGGGUUAACAGAAUUCCUUACUCGAAUUUCUGGUUCGCGGACUGUUAAACAGAGUCAAGCUUUUCCUCGAUUCGGGAUUUAAUACCGGUGACUUGGGACACCAUAAAUUAUCCCAAGUGGCGACUCUGAAUCAAUUAACAAUAAAUCUCGUUUCAAUUGUCCCUUAAUUGGAAAAACUCCUUUAUACACUUUCCAGAGGGUGUAGGUAAAAAGGAGGUGUGACAGCUCUAGCGACUCUGCUGGGGACUCGAACCCAGAAUCUCUGGUUCAGGAUUCAAGAAUUCGAGCUUAGAAUAAUUGUUAUAGUUGGCUUUAUCCAUUAUCCGAUUCUGUUACAUGAUUUGGGCCUUAUGUGCUAAUUGAUCGCUUUUACCGCUUUGAUAUUCUGUGAACUGUAUAUAAACUGUUGUGAAAUCCAUCUUCUCUAUGAGUAUUCUAAAUCAUGAAGAAGUGUGCACUUCGUGUGACUUAUUUUUCGUUAGAGUCAUAUUCCAAAUUUAGAACGAGGUUCGGACAAGUUGCAAAGCCGGUGAAGCUUCUGUAUUCCCGGUACGCUGCCCCUCCCCCCCCCCCCCCGGCUCGAGUUGUCCGCUCGGGUAAGCCAGGUUUAGAACAAAUAAACCCAAGUUUUUAAACCUAGUAUAACAAUACCUCAUGUCGGAUCCCUAGUAAGAAUGUUUGUUUGCAUCAUGUGCAUUUUGACUUUGGAGACUCAACACAGGGGUUGGAUCUGUCUAGGACAGGUGCACCCGAAAUAAAAAGACCAUCUUGAUGCAUCUUACUUGCUACUUGUGCAUUUAUUUGCUUUGAACCUGCAUGUUGACCGGCUUAUGAAUAUCAGGAAAAGUCGAGAAAAGGAAAUAGCAGUAUAAAAGGUUAAGAGGAUUGAUCACCUCUUUUGAGAAAAACCAAAUGUCCAAAUAGUGCUGAAACUCUGCCGAAUUUUUGAGAAAAAAUGAAAUUAAAAAAAGAGAAAGGGUUUUGUUUUCAAAAAUAGUUUGUUUAUUUGCCCGAACUACGCCAGUUUGAUUCUCACAGGGUGUAAGAUACGUAGGCAACCCCCAUUCCCGGUCCAACUUCCUUUUUGCAAAAAUAGCCCAAAAGAACAAAAUUUUACUUUAAUUUGAAAAUAAUUAGGGUGAUAUCGUUCUUGUCAUAAAUAGCCGAAUGUCCCUAAAAGGACGUCGGAAGGCUGUUUUUGCAAGAACAACCACUUUUGGUCACUUUUAAAGGUUUUGGCUGGUUAGCUGACAUAGCCUUAAAAUCUUCGUUUUUGAAGUGCUGAAAGGCCGUAUUGGCAAGGCCGGAUGUUUUGUGAAAAUGUUGAAAAAAUGGUCAUUUCUCUUAAGUCAAAAUAAGUCAUAGUUUUAUUUUAAUUAAAAGCACCUUAAUAAAUGUGCAGGAUGAGCACAAAUCAAAAUGAACCUUUCUCAGUCCGUGAAGAGAUCCCUUUGGAGCUACAUAUGUGGUGGCAUGAUUUGGGGGGCGACAGCAGGAAAGUUGUGACAAAAGCAUUGGCGGUCUUAUUGGGCUCUUGAAGGUUAAGCCAAGAAAAGACGUGAUUGAGGCCUUGGUACCAUUUUGGGACCCAACACAUAAUGUAUUCCACUUUGUUGACUUCGAGUUAACUCCUACACUGGAAGAGAUAGCAGGCUAUGCCGGUUUCGAGGGGAAUCUUAGAAGUUAAUACCCGGUAGCACCGAGAACAGUAACCCCUCACAAAUGUUUGGACUUGUUAAGCAUCAGUCGGGACAUCCGAGACGGAAAUUUGACCAAAGUAUUCUGUACCUUCUACUUUCUGUAUCGACAUUACGGGAAUCCCCGUGGCUUUAAAACGCCAGAUACCGGUCUUACUCACGCGGGAAACCAAGACAAGUGGGAAGCUCGGAGAGGAUUAGCUUUCAUAGUGGCGUUCCUGGGUAUUUUGGUUUGCCCUACAAAAGACGGGAACAUAGAAUUGGGGCUUGUAGGGAUAGCUGACUUUAUGAUGAAAAAGGCAAACGGGACUAUAGUGCCGCUGAUCUUGGCGGAAAUUUAUCGAGCUCUGACCCUUUGUCGAGAAGGAGAGAAAUUCUUUGAAGGGUGCAAUAUGUUGUUACAGCUAUGGAUGGAGGAACACCUUUGCCACCGUCCUGGAUACUUGAAUUGUGGUAUGACUGGCCUCGAAUGCAUCAAAAAACAUGAAAAACGAGUAUAGGGUUAUGAGUUCCUGGAUGGUACAGAAGCAUGGCAUGCUCAUCUGAGAUCUUUGACUGCAAACAAGAUCAAAUGGAUGAUCGGGUGGCUCUCAAUCAGUGAAGUAAUCUAUAUGUCAGUUGUGUGUUUUUUGCUGUUGAUGGGUCUUCGGAGUAUCCAGCCUUAUUCUCCACACAGAGUCCUACGUCAGUUAGGCCAAUACCAGACCAUCCCACACGAUGAAGAUUUGAGUUGGCAGGUCAUUGAGUUAGAGCCAAAAGCUGCCUUCCCAGAAGAGAAAGUGCAUCAGAUUUGGCAUCAGUGCAGAUUCUUAGGGCCUAAUACUCAAGUACGAGAUUUAUACAGAGGCAAGGUGGAGCCUAGUUAUAUGGCUUGGUAUGGUAAAUGAUCCCGAGUUCAACAUGAGCCUGAAAGGACUGCAAAGAGACCCAAUGUCCAACAGUUCACCGACGGAGCACAAGUGCAAUGGGACUGGCUGACCAAAGAAAACGAGUACAGGGCUACCAUAAGCAAAUUGGAAAAACAAGUCAGGGACCUUCAGUUUGAAAAUAGCUUGCAAGCCGCGGCAGACGAAGGAGAAAAGAAAAAGCUAGCCAAAGAAAAUGAGGCCCUUCGAGUCCAGAUUCAGAAAAUGAAAAUAGCGACAGAAAACCCAGCCCAAAGUUCCAAAGAUGAAAAACUCAUUGCUAACUUGAGGCAGAAAGUGAAUGACUAUAGUUUUGAUUUGAACAAAGUAGAAAGUGAACUAGCCAAGGCUCGAAAACAAUUGGCUAAAAAUGCAUAUGAACGAGCACGCCUGGUUAAGCAGUUGAAAGAAAAGUAUGACGAUGAGGUCGCAGGAUUAAAGAAAAGGGUCAUCGCCACGGAAAACAAAAUGAUCAAACAGGCAAAAGACUUCAAGGUUGAAAGGGAGCAUUGUUAUACAUCAUUGGCACAAUUAGAAAUAGAUUUGCAACAACUUCAGGAGUAGAAUCAUGGGGCCGAGCAAACUUUGGAAGCCAGGGCCCAGCAGAUCGGGCGUUUGUUACAAGAAAAAGGUGUCAUAAGAGAGAGAAUUAGAAACAUCGCCGAUUACAUUAUUGUGAAGUGUCAAGUCUGUGAGGAUAUGACUCGCACUACCUUCUUCACAGCAAUGAUGACAUUUGUUAAAUAGAUAAUGAGCGACUUGGAUCGACUUCAAAGGGAUCUUGUAUAUAGGCCCGCGGCGAGACCGAAUGAUGUCCCGCAACACUAGGACAUUGAUGUAUUCAUGAUUUUUCAUUUGAGUCUGUAUUUCCUUUUCCGUUACAGUCUGUCAGUUGUGUUGAGUUUGUAUUUUCCUUCUACUGGAGUCAGUCAAUUGUUUUCAAGUCUGUAUUUUCUUUUGUUGGAGUAUGAUAGUUUAUUUUCGGAGUCUGUAUUUCGUUUUUUCAUCGGCGUCUGUUAGUUUCUUUGGAGUCUGUUAGUUUUGAGUCUUUGUAAUCAAAGCAUUUGCUUAUUAUGAAAAUUGAAAAUUCCAAAAAUGUUUUAUUAUUUACUUCACACUUAUCUCCCAGAACUACGCUCGGUCUGAUUCAUGCGGGGUCAUGAUACGUAGGCAAUCUCCAUAGGAUUCGACCACAACCAAAAAAAAGAGAAGAAAAGAAAAAGAAAAACAAUAGAGAAAAAGAAAGAAAGGAAAGAAAAUAAGAGAAAGAAACAAUGGCAAAACAAGAGGGAAAUGAGAGGAUAAAAACAAAGAAAAGCAAAGGCCAGAGUGAAAAAAGAAAAGAAAAAAAGAAAGAAAGUUGCAAAUGGAAAAGCCGGGAUAACGCAAGCAGCCGAUCAAAUGCAUGAUAGAAAUGGUUAACUACUUAGGUGCAUUCAUUCCCCAAAUGUGCGGUUACCAAUUUGUUAAAGCCCUAACCACUAACAGGGUUGUUGUUGAUGUAUUGAGUUCAGGCAUGUGGUUAGUUGAUUGGCAUUCUGGCUACCCACUCAUACAAUACCCGAUCAAAAGACAAGUUGAACAUGGCCAACCAAGAAUUGGAGGCAAGUAUUGUUGACCCGUCAAAAGAGCUGGAAGAAUUGGAUAUUAAUGCGAUGAGGGAAGAGAUGUAUAAGUUAAAGUAGCAAAUGGCUGAAAUGUACCAAGCCUGGGCAAAGGGGCAUCCACCACCGUUUUAUCCUGCUUAUAUCCCACCAUUGGCUCAACCUUAGAAACCUCCCACUGUGAACUUAUCUUCAGCCUUUCCCCUCUACCAAUAGUGCCCCGACACCACUUCCCAUAAAUCUUAAGCUCCACCACCUAGACAAGUCUCGCACCCUCCUCCACCAAUCACACCUGUUUUUGUGGCACCCCACCUACUACAUUACACCGAUCUUCUAGUGAAUCUCUGUUCCAGGAUCACGACAACCAGUAUUAUCCCCCUGAACCCACCUUCAAAGUUCUAGAACCAUAUUCCUACACCCCUCAUCUCGAUCUCCCGGUAUAGACCGAGAAGCCACCCAAAGAUCCCAGACAUGAGGAGAUGAUCAGAAAGGUCAAAAGCUUAGAGCAAUCAUUCAGAGAUAUGAGGGGGUUGGAGGGCCAAGUAAGUGUGACCUAUAAAGACUUAUGUCUGUUCCCAGAUGUUCAGUUACCAGCAGGGUUCAAAAUGCCCAAGUUUGAUCUGUACGACGGUCAUGGUGACCCAAUAGGACACUUAAGAGGAUUUUGUAGCAAGAUGAGAGGAGCAGGCGGAAGAGAUGAAUUGCUGAUGGCAUAUUUCAGCCAAAGUCUGAGUGAAUCAACAUUAGAAUGGUAUACCAGACAAGAUCAUAGUAGGUGGUACACAUGGGACGAUUUAGCCCAAGCCUUCGCUGCCAUUUUCAGUACAAUCUUGAAAUUAUUCCAGAUCGGUUGUCAUUGACAAAGAUCGAGAAGAAGCCCGGUGAGAGUUUCAAAGAAUAUGGGUUCUGUUGGAGAGAGCAAGCAGCGAGGGUUGACCCUCCGAUGAAAGAAAGUAAGAUGGUUGAUUAUUUCUUGUAGGCUUUGGAGCCCACUUAUUUUGGUCACUUGGUGUCAGCAGUGGGCAAGUCCUUUAAUGAGGUUGUAAAAAUGGGAGGCAUGGUUGAGGAGGGACUCAUUUCCAACAAGAUCAUGAGUUAUUCAGCAAUCAAAGCAACCACCUAGGCCAUUCAAAACGGUACUGGGGGUGUGCUCGGGAAGAAGAAGAAAUAGGAUGUUGCGACAAUUGAGUCAGGAGCUUGGGUCGGAUCCAGGAACCUUCCACGUUAUAUAACCCGCCUCGACCCUAUCACCAAACUUACCCCCACACUCCAUAUAGCCCACCACAACACUAUUACCCACCGCCCGAUCCCCAUUUUUCCAUCCAUCACGCACAAACCUAUACCCAACCUCCUGCUCACUCACAAUGGCAUGUGCCAGCUCCACAAAAUACCUAUACACCCCCAAGAGCCUACAGAAAUCCCCCUGGAACAGGUUUUUGGCCCAAUCAAGCCUUUAAGAAUGAGAGGUUGUAGAAAUAGAAGACAUUCACUCCAUUGGGAGAAUCAUAUACUAGGACAGACUGAGAUAGUUGGGUAUGUUGAAUCCGAUUGAGGCUAAACUGCAGAAUCCCCCUCCCAGAAAUCUUGACCACUCGGUGAGUAAUGAGUAUUGUUCAGGGGCCCCAGGUCAUGACACAAAGAAAUGCUGGAAAUUGAAAACAACUAUUCAAUAGCUCAUUGACAUUAAUCGGAUUGAGGUACAAGCUCUGGAGGCACCCAAUAUCAACCAAAACCCAUUGCCAGCCCAUCAUGAGACAAAUAUGAUUGAGAUAGUGCAUGAGGGAGGGGAGCCUAAGAAGCCUUCGCAAACUGUCAUGAUGAUUAGGGCUAGUGAAGCCAAGCCAUCUGAAAAGUAAACAAGUGAGAAGUUUGUGAUCAAGUUGAACGGGGCAAAUAGUUAACCAUCUGCGGUGGGCAAGAAGGGGUCCUCAAGUGACGUUGCAGGGAAACAUGAAAAAGCAAAAGUGGUUGUGCUAGGAGUAUUGAACAAGCUUGUGGUAAUUGUGGAAGGUUCCCGUACAGAUCCUAUUAUCAUCAAACCGGUAACUCAAUUACCGAUAGUCAGCAGCAAGGCGGUCCCGUAAAAUUAUGAACGAGUGACAGUAAUUUACAAGGGGAAAGAGGUUAAAGAAGAAGUGUGUGAGACCCAUGGUUUGACUCGAUCGGGGAGAUGCUUUGCCCCCGAAGAGUUGAGAAAAGCUAGAACCUCUAAAGAUAACCUAGUAUUGGUGAAGAAAGCUGUGACUGAGGAAGAAUCCAAGGAGUUCUUGAGAAAGAUGAAAGUGCAGGACUAUUCCAUUGUGGAGUAGUUGAGGAAAACACCGGCUCAGAUUUCAUUAUUGUCAUUAUUGAUCCAUUCCGACGAGCACCGUCGGGCUUUGAUGAAGGUCUUGAAUGAGACCCACAUUCCUGACAAAAUCUCAGUAAACCACUUGGAAAAGAUAGCUAACAAGAUAUUUGAGGUAAACAGAGUCACUUUUUCUGAUGAUGAGUUGCCCGUGGAGGGUACUGAGCACAAUAGAGCCCUCUAUCUAAUGGUGAAAUGCGAAGAUUUCGUGGUUACUCGGGUACUGGUUGACAAUUGGUCUAGUGCGAACUGUCCUCUCUCCACGUUGAACAAGCUGAAAGUGGAGGAUGAAAGAAUUCACAAGAAUAGUAUUUGUGUUCGGGGAUUUGAUGGUGNNNNNNNNNNNNNNNNNNNNNNNNNNNNNNNNNNNNNNNNNNNNNNNNNNNNNNNNNNNNNNNNNNNNNNNNNNNNNNNNNNNNNNNNNNNNNNNNNNNNNNNNNNNNNNNNNNNNNNNNNNNNNNNNNNNNNNNNNNNNNNNNNNNNNNNNNNNNNNNNNNNNNNNNNNNNNNNNNNNNNNNNNNNNNNNNNNNNNNNNNNNNNNNNNNNNNNNNNNNNNNNNNNNNNNNNNNNNNNNNNNNNNNNNNNNNNNNNNNNNNNNNNNNNNNNNNNNNNNNNNNNNNNNNNNNNNNNNNNNNNNNNNNNNNNNNNNNNNNNNNNNNNNNNNUCUACAUCAAAUGGUCAAGUUUGAAUGGGAUCGACAGGAAAUUGUUGUGCACGGCGAGGAUAAUUUGUGUGUUCCCAAUGAUGCCAUUGUUCUGCUCAUAUAGGUUGAAGACGACAAGGGGCCAUGGGUUUAUCAGGUUUUUGACACAGUACCAGUGAAGAAAAUUCCAGAAGGGAAGUGCGUUCCAACUCUGUGGGUAGUUGCUGUAUCAGUCAUGGUAGCCGCUGAAAUGUUGAAAAAUGGUUUUGUACUGGGUAAGGGUUUGGGUGCAUCUCUGUAAGGUAUCGUACAGUCGGUUUCUCUUCCCAAAAACUUGGAUACAUUUGGUCUGGGGUUCAGCCCACAGUUGCGGACGUGAGAUAGCCAGGAAAAUAAAACAGAGAGCAUGGGCCCUUCCAAAGCCAGUCCCGCGUCUUUCCAGAUCAUUUGUCAGGCCUGGUACCAGAAAGCGCCCAAUGACAACCAUUCCCAGUUCGGUGGUUGAUGUGGAUGGAGAUUUGAUGGAAAAGUUCGAGAGGAUAUUCGACGAAGUAAACAUGGUGGAAGUUGGAGAGGGUUCUAGCAAGGCGGAUGUGCAAUUUGUUGGGCCCAGUGCAAAGAUUAACAACUGGGAAGCUACUCCUCUCCCCACCAGGAAGGAGUUUUGAUAGUUUGCUUUGAUUUUCUUUUAAUUUAUCUGGAUUAUUCCAGGGUUGUAAUUCAGAUUCUAUGUUCCGUCCGUUUGGAUGUAUAAACCUUGUUAUCUUUAAUUUUAAUGAAAUGCAAUUUCCCUUUUUCUUCCUUCCUGAUAGUUUUAUUUUUGUUUUUUCUUUUCUUCUUGGUACAGUUCUUUUUAUGCUGGCUUCAAUGAUAUGACAUGCAUGAGGAAUCUCUGGCCCAGUCUUAAAAGCCAAUCUAAUUCUGAAAUAGUAAUUCAAGAAAUAGAGUGUGACAUUGAAUUGGAGUAUGACGAGGAUGAAGCCUUUGAAGAUAUUAGUAAAGAAUUAAGCCAUUUUGAAGAAAAACUCAAGUCUAACCUGAGUGACACAGAAGCAAUCAAUUUAGGGGACCAAGAUAAUGUCCGGAAAACUAAAAUAAGUGUCCAUCUUGAACCACAACUCAGAGAGGAGAUAAUUAAAGCACUGUUCGAGUAUAAAGAUUUUUUGCAUGGUCCUAUGACGAUAUGCCGGGUCUAAGCACUGACUUGGUGGUUCACAAAUUGCCCACUGAACCGGCAUUCCCCCCUGUCAAGCAGAAGCUGAGGAAAUUUAAAACUGAUAUGAGUGUGAAGAUUAAGGAAUAGGUCACCAAGCAGUUCGAUGCAAAGGUCAUUCGGGUCACCCGAUAUCCUACCUGGUUAGCCAAUGUUGUGCCUGUGCCGAAGAAGGAUGGCAAGACCAGGAUGUGUAUUGAUUAUUGAGACCUUAACAAGUCAAGUCCCAAGGAUAACUUCCCAUUGCCGAACAUCCAUAUAUUAAUCGAUAAUUGUGCCAAACAUGAGAUUGGUUCUUUUGUGAAUUUCUAUGCGGGCUACCAUCAGAUCUUAAUGGAUGAAGUGGACGCAGAAAAGGCAUCAUUCAUCAUGCCAUGGGGAACGUACUGCUAUAGGGUUAUGCCAUUUGGUUUGAAAAAUGCUGGGGCAACCUACAUGAGGGCAGUGACGACCAUAUUCCACGACAUGAUACACAGGGAGAUCGAGGUUUAUGUGGACGAUGUGAAUGUACAGUCUAGAAAGGAGUCUGACCAUGUCAGAGACCUGAGAAAGUUCUUCCAAAGGCUUCGCAAGUACAAUAUCAAGCUUAAUCCUGCAAAAUGCGCGUUCGGUGUUCCAUCUGGAAAGUUGUUGGGAUUCAUAGUCAGCCGCCGAGGUAUUGAAUUAGACCCAUCAAAGAUCAAAGCUAUCCAGGAGUUGCCACCCCCAAAGAACAAGACUGAGGUGAUGAGUCUGUUGGGGAGAUUGAAUUAUAUCAGCUGGUUUAUCACUCAGCUCACAACAACUUAUGAGCCUAUCUUCAAACUGUUAAAGAAAGAUGUUGCGGUCAAGUGGAUAGAUGAAUGUCAGGAAGCAUUUGAUAAGAUAAAGGGGUACUUGUCAAACCCACCUGUGUUAGCCCCGCCAGAACCAGUGAGACCUUUGAUUCUGUAUUUGACGGUCUUGGACAAUUCAUUUGGAUGUGUGUUGGGCCAACAUGAUAUCACUGGCACGAAGGAGCAGGCCAUAUAUUAUCUCGGCAAGAAGUUCACAUCUUACGAGGUCAAGUACACUCAUCUUGAGAGGAUGUGUUACGCCCUAACCUGGGUAGCCCAGAAGUUGAAACACUAUUUGUCAUCUUAUACUACUUACCUCAUCUCUUGCUUGGAUCCGUUGAAGUAUAUCUUCUAGAAGCCUAUACCCACGGGAAGGCUCGCAAAGUGGCAGAUCUUGCUCAUAGAAUUUGACAUUGUCGACAUGACUCGGACUGCGAUGAAAGCACAAGCAUUGGCCGACCAUUUGGUUGAGAAUCCAGUGGAUGAAGAAUACGAACCUUUGAAGACUUACUUCCCCGAUGAAGAGGUAAUGCACAUUGAUGAGUUGGAACAGAUUGAAAGGCCAGGAUGGAAACUUUUCUUUGAUGGGGCUGCUAACAUGAAAGGCGUUGGGAUAGGAGAGGUACUUGUUUCUGAAACCGGGCAUCAUUACCCUAUUACGACUCAGCUUCGGUUCUACUGUACUAACAAUAUGGCUGAGUACGAGGCAUGCAUUUUGGGUUUGAGGAUGGCUGUGGAUAUGGGUGUCUAGGAAGUCUUGGUCUUGGGUGACUCGGACCUUCUGGUGCACCAGAUUCAAGGAGAGUGGGAAACUUAGGAUCUAAAACUCAUACCGUAUCAACAAUAUUUACAUGAUCUUUGUCAGCGAUUCCAAUAAAUAGAGUUCAGGCAUAUUCCGAGGAUUCAUAAUGAGGUCGCUGAUGCUUUGGCUACUCUGGCGUCAAUGUUACAUCAUCCAGAUAAGGCUUAUGUAGACCCGUCGCAUAUUCAGGUCUGCGAUCAGCAUGCUUAUUGUAACGUGGUAGAAGAAGAACUCGAUGGCGAACCAUGGUUCCAUGAUAUCAAGGAAUACAUCAGGAUAGGGGUGUAUCCAGUACAAGCCACAGGUGAUCAAAAAAGGACAAUUAGGCGGUUGGCAAGAGGUUGUUUCUUCAGCGGAGGGGUUCUAUACUAAAAGACUCCAGAUCUUGGGCUGCUGAGGUGCAUGGAUGCUAGGCAAGCUACAACUAUUAUGACUGAAGUACAUUCUGGAGUCUGUGCACCGCACAUGAGUGGGUACGUGUUGGAAAAGAAGAUUCUCUGAGCAGGCUAUUAUUCGCUCACUAUGGAGCGAGAUUGUAUCAAUUUCGUGCGUAAAUAUAAUCUGUGCCAAGUGCAUGGAGAUUUGAUUCAUUCUCCACCAUCUGAAUUACACACGAUGUCUGCACCAUGGCCCUUUGUUGCUUGGGGAAUGGAUGUCAUUGGACCAAUUAAGCCAGUAGCAUCCAAUGGGCACAGGUUUAUUCUGGUGGCCAUUGAUUAUUUCACCAAGUGGGUAGAGGCUAAAACAUUCAAGUUUGUAACCAAGAAGGCGGUGGUUGAUUUUGUGCACUUAAAUAUGAUUUGCCGGUUUGGGAUACCAAAGGUAAUCAUUACAAACAACGGGGCUAAUCUCAAUAGUCAUCUGAUGAAAGAGGUAUGUCAACAGUUUAAGAUUACACAUCGCAAUUCCACCCCAUAUCGCCCCAAGGCGAAUGGAGCAGUCGAGGCAACCAAUAAGAACAUAAAGAAGAUACUUCGGGAAAUGGUGGAAGGGUCCAGGAAAUGGCAUAAGAAGCUGUCGUUUACAUUGUUGGGUUAUCGCACUACUGUCCGUACUUCAGUAGGGGCGACUCCUUAUUUGUUGGUGUAUGGCACCGAGGCAGUGAUACCUGCAGAAGUGGAAAUUCCAUCUUUUCCAAUUGUCGCGGAGGCUGAGAUCGAUGAUGAUGAGUGGGUCAAAACCCGUCUGGAGCAAUUAAGUUUGAUCGAUGAAAAAAAACUGGCAGUAGUGUGUCAUGGCCAAUUGUAUCAACAGAGAAUGGCAAGAGCAUACAAUAAAAAGGUGCGUCCACGGAAGUUUGAAGUGGGUCAGUUAGUAUUGAAGCGUAUCUUGCCUUACCAGGUUGAAGCAAAAGGAAAGUUUUCCCAAAUUGGCAGGGGCCAUUCGUUGUAGCUAGAGUGUUAUCCAAUGGUGCAUUGUAUUUGACAGAUGUAGAAGGCAAAUAUGUAGAAAUGGCUAUCAAUUCUGAUGCAGUCAAGCGAUACUAUGUAUGAUUUCUUUGUCUGAUUGUACUUGUUUGUAUUUGGCAUGUUUUGAAUAUUGAAAUGACGAAGGAAUUUUGUUCUGCUAUCUAAACACUUUAUCCCUUGUCACCCCCUUUGAGCCUUAUUUAUUUUCUUUCAUACCCCUCUUUUGGAAUCAGUAGCAAAGUUCAGAAACUCAAGCGCAAAAAUAAGUAAAGGAAGAAGAAAAAAAAGAGAGAGAAAAAGAGAAAGAAAAAUGAAAAGAGAAAGAAAAGAAAUGAAAAAAAAAGAGAGAAGAAAAACAACGAAAAGAGAAAAGAAAGCAAAAAAGAGAAAGAAAAGAAAGAGAAAAUCACAACAACAAAGUAAUUUCUAUGUCAUGAACGAUGUUCUACCUGAUUCAUUUUAAGGAUACGUAGGUAGCCUCACGGUUCGGUCCCAUCAAAAUAAAAAUCCAAAAGUCCCCAAGCAAGAAACUGGGGCAGAAGUUGUGGUUGUUGUAAGAAAUCUGAUUCCGAAAGUUGUAAUUGUGAACCCAUGAUGAAUUGUUUUGAACCUUUUUAUACCCUUUCUUUCUAACCCCAUACAAAAGCCCACAUUACAGUCCAAAGAAAGACCUUCCGAUCGGUCUUCAAGAAAUGCCAAAGCGAGCAGAUAGCGGUGAUUCAUAUCAAGGGCAGCACUCUGGUCCAAAUAGGAAAAAGAAAUAAAAAAUGAGAGAGUCUUAUUGGUGAAAACCCUCAUAGGCAUCGUAAUGAGACGGUAGCAGAGAGAAAUAAAAAUGAGAGAGUCUUAUUGGUGAAAACCCUCACGGGCACCUUAAGGCGAAAGUGAGUUGACGGAUGGACGAGUGAGAGAGGUCUGCUGGUGAAAACCUUUCAAGGCGCCGUAGGAUGAACAAGGCCAGGAUUUGGUUGAAGAAAUCAUGUUAUGGAAAUUCCAUGGAAACAAAGUAUGGCAACUGAAAGUUGAUUGGUUGGACAAAUUAACCCAAUUAAUCCAAAUUGCAUGUCAUGAUCGUUGGUGCCAGCUGUCCCACUCAGAUAAGUCUCUUUUCUUGUUCCUCUUCAGAUAGUCUUCCAGUUUUGGAUUUUCUUUUCCUUAACUCUUAAAGUCAUUGCAUUUCAUUUCUAAGACGUUCCCAAUGUCAGUUAUAUUAAAGCAAAUAAGAAAGAAUUUCAAAGCUCACUACCAGCUUCAAGAUUGCAAAGCACAGUGCGGCCAGAGCAUACCAAAAAUAGCAUGAUGUAAAGAGGGAUAAAGUGCCAGCAAGAGUUCCAUCGGAAAAUGAUUUGGUAAUUUAAUGGGGCAUUUAGAGGUUUAGUUAAAAGGGUCAGAGAUGUGAAACAACGGCUCGGGUAUAGAACACUCGGGUAAUCCAAAGUCAUGGGAGUUUGAAAGCUAGUCAGAAAGUCGAGCGGUUCAAGGCCAGUUCGAGGAAGCCAGUCAGAACAAAACAACGCAGCGGAGAGACCUUCAGCAAGAAUUCCAUCAACUAACCACCACAUUUUAAACUGACAAAAUAUUUCUUUGAUUAAAACAGGGGCAGGAAAUUUCGGUUGUUUCGGAGAAACCCUCCGUGGAGAAGGGCAAUCACCAAACAGGUUUCAUUUUUGAUUUUCAGGACCCUCCUGGAAAAUGGGACCUAGUUUAAAACUCAGAAAUAGCAUAAUCUAGCAUAAAUGUAUCCUAAAAGAAUAUAAGUUAGCUUAGAAGUUUGCAUGUUCGAUAUAGGAUUCAAUUAGGAGUUUCGAGGACCCUUCUGAAUAAUGGGACUUAUCUUUAAGAUUUCGAUUAGAUAACAAAAUUUAGCGUAAACUCUGCUGUAGGGUAGUAUAAUUCAACCAUGAAAGUUUAGCAAUCAGGAACCCGCCUGGAGAACAGGGAAUACAUUUCAAGUUUAGCAAUCAGGAGCCCUCCUGGAGAGCAGGGAAUACAUUUCAAGUUCAGCAGUCAGGAGCCCGCCUGGAGAGCAGGGAAUACAUUUCAGGUCAGCAGUCAGGAGCCCGCCCGAAGAGCAGGGAAUACAUUUCAAGUCAGCAAUCAGGAGCCCACCUGGAGAACAAGGGAGUACAAUUCAAAUUUUAGCUUUUAAGUUCUUAUUGAUAGUUGGUGAUGUGAUUUGUUUUACACUUACAUAUGUUCCCAGAUACCCAAACUGGGGCAGAAAAACUUCCUCUGUUUUUGUCAUUUUGUUGAAGUCAGGAGCCCGCCUGGAGAGCAGGGAAUACAUUUCAAGUUAGAAGUCAGGAGCCCACCUUGGAGAGCAGGGAAUACAUUUCNNNNNNNNNNNNNNNNNNNNNNNNNNNNNNNNNNNNNNNNNNNNNNNNNNNNNNNNNNNNNNNNNNNNNNNNNNNNNNNNNNNNNNNNNNNNNNNNNNNNNNNNNNNNNNNNNNNNNNNNNNNNNNNNNNNNNNNNNNNNNNNNNNNNNNNNNNCCUGGAGAGCAGGGAAUACAUUUCAAGUUAGAAGUCAGGAGCCCGCCUGGAGAGCAGGGAAUGCAUUCAAGUUCAGCAGUCAAGCGUCCCCUUGGAGAAAAUAAAAACAUCUCAAAGUGUAGUUGGCAGUAAGGCGUCCACCUGGAGAAAAGUAAAAACAUCUCAGAUUACAAUUCAAGGCGGCAACAAAGGGAUUCCACUGGGAAAAUACAAGUCAACAAGGCAACAAGAACCACAAGAGCAAGUUUGAAGAUAUAGAUAGGAUUUUGUAAUGCAUAGAUCAUAGUAUAGUUUAACUUCUUUUUACUUUAUCAUGGUGUAAUAAGGGGAUGCAGUAAGCAACAACAACAACAACAACAACAACAACAACAAUGAAAUCACAGCCUCAUGGUAGUUCCAGCUACCAAAACUUCCCAAACUACACUGACUUGAUUCCUUUAUAGCCAAGGAUAUGUAGGCAACCUCGGAAGAAGGGUGCGGUCAAAUCUUACAAAAAUGCUUCCCACGGAGUAUUCAAACGGGUAAAAAUCACUCGUAUCCGCUCACUUUAUCUUUGCACGAAAACUCUUCGUGUUUUCGAGCAAAGAGGGGCAGCUGUGAGCACGUGAUUUUUGUCCUAUAUGAAUUACUCCCAUAAAUUCAAAACAAAAUAACUAUUUCAUUAUUUGCAAUUCUUGUGGAUUUUGUGGCAUUUUCUGAUCAUUGUUUGCAUUUGUAUAUGCAUGUUUAUUUCAUUUAAUUAAUAAAAAUACAAAAAUACACUGCAUUUGUAUUUAGGAUCUAAUUUUGCAUUAAUUAGUAAUUUAGUGUUUUAUAAAAAAUGAAAAAAAAAUCACAAAAUAGUUUAGUUUGCACUUUUAAUUUUAAUUUCGAAUUUUGGUGGUUUUUCUUUAAUUUGGUAUUUAAUUAGCCGUGGUAAUUAUUAUUUAUAGUUAGCUAAUUUAAUUUGAUAGAAUAAUUUGAUUAAGAAUUAAUUUAGGCUUUAUUUUAAUUUAAAAGAAAUUAGAAGAAAACUGAAAAAAUGAAAAUGAAAAGGAAAAGGGAAUUAAAACAAACUCAGUUCUGGGCCAAGCUUAUACCAGCCCAAGUUGUUCCCCAUUAACUCGUCCAAGUUAAGGCCCAAUUACGCCUUCACCCGGUCCGGUUCCCCCAUACAAACCAAACGACGUCGUUUCAUUAUCCCUUGAUCUGAGCCGUUGAUCCCUGUAAAUCCAAUGGACCGGAAUUGACCCCUCCCCCAUAUAAAACUGUCCAAACUCUACCCCCCUCUCAAACUCAUCUCUCUCAACCCCCAUCUUCAGAGACGCCCAAACCCUAGAAGCCACCCCCAUUCGCCACCAUGCCCGGCCGACGGUGCAGCCCUAAACUACUUUGUUCCUCCCCAAAAUAAAACCCUAGGAUCCUUUUCAACUCCUCAUCCAAAAUACCCAACCCAUUGCCCUCGAAUCAACGUAGACUUGUUCGAAUCUUAAAUUAGGGCUCAAACCUCAAAAGUUCAAAAAUCAUUUUCGCCAAGCCUGGUGACAUGCAUAAUCGCGAAAUACUCUUCUUUCAAAGUUUGAGGGCCUGACUCGACGAAACUAAUGUCGAUUCAGUUGUUCUUGACAAAGAAUAACGGAUUCGACUUAAGUUUGGUUAAGUUUUGUCUCCAUCUGUUUUCGAAGUCCGAUCCGGUAAGUUCUUGUCCCUUUUGUGUUUUCUUUCUCCUAUUAUCCUCCUCUCUCCUUUUCUUUAACUUAAUUUUCAUAAUAAUCUGAUUCAUCUCUGAGUUUAAAUUUUCCUCCUGUUCACCAUUUUGGUUUUCCUUUUCUCCUUUAUCCUUUCUACUUUAUGAAAUCCAUUUCUUUUUUUUUAGUCCGUUAAACAUGAUCAAGUUCUGUUUCGUAAUUUUCACUUAGUUAAUUUAAAUAGGUUAAUUUAGUUAACUUUUGCUAUUAACUUAAGAUAAUUGACUCAUGUGCCUUCAUCAUUGUUUGGUUACAUUUUUAAAGGUUUUCGGGGGCUUUUCUUUUGGGAACUUUGGGUUAGUUCUUAGAAUAGGAUUCCUUGUUUGAUCCUAAUUGGGCUUAUGAAAUUCGAAAGCCCCGAAAGGGGUAUGGGUGGGGAUUUAAUUUGGGCUGCAGACCCAUUAGUUUGGUCAGUUGACCCGGGUUGGGUUUAAAGAGUAAAAUUAGAGAAUUGAGAGGGUAAUUUAGGUAACUGGUUUAGGGAAUCUGUAGUAACUGAAUAGGAAGCUUCCAAGAAAAGGGGUUUGGGACUAUUUUGACAUUCUGAAUUUUACAUUAGGGAUAUGUGAGCUAAAACCAAAAUUGAAAAAGGGGCAAAAUGCAAAGACUGAUAUCUUUGAGUUGCCCUAAUGUCUUGCCUAUAAAGGCACCAAGACUUGCUAUUCAAGUCAGAUUUUUAAAAAGAGAAAAAAUCCCUAAAAUUGAAAUGGCUAGGUCCUUUGAGAGAAUUCUGAAUUCUCUGCAUUUCUAGCUUAGAAAAGUUCUUAAUUCUUGCAUAUUUGGUAUUUUCUGGUUUCAUUUGGCUAGAAAAUUUCUUUUCUAAGAAGAUCAUAGUCUUAAAUCUUGGUUUCCAUGGCUUGAGUUUGGUUUUCUGAAGACUGGUUUGAGUUUGGCUGUUGAAGUUACUGUUUGAUUAAAGCUGGGUGUUACUCUGUUGCUGUUCUGCUGACUCUUCACCCUUUCUAUUUUCUUUCGAUUUCCAGGUACUCCCCAGAUUCCACUAACCUAUGAAUUGCACAUCAAAGACAUGUAAACAACCUGGGCUUGCAUAUGAAUGACAAUGGAUUUGAACAUAGUUACAUGUCCUUUAGAGAUCAGUCGUGUUUUCUUUUGGUGUAUCGAACUUGCCAUUUGAAUAUUCUUCUGUGUGAAUGUAGCUUAUCACUCCAAACUCUGGAAUUGUUUAAAUUCUUGUGUAUUUAAUGUCUGCAAUGCAUGAAUCCUAUUAGUCAAAUGUAGUAGCAAUUUAUUUAGUUUGAGUGGCUUCUUUGAUUACUGAAGUUACAAGGUUUUUUACUGCUAUAGAUGCAAAUUUGGUAGGCACUUUCAGGAUUUUGUUAAAACAUGUAUGUUGAAUCUUAGGUGUAGUAGUUGAACUCUUAUCAAUUUUGAAAUAUGGACACCCUUAAGGAACAAUGCAUAGGUUGUAUGGUAGCAUUGUGCUUCAGUUGUUAAUGAGGCCUACUGUCAUGUUUUGAUCACAUAAGUGAAAGCAGGAAAUGUUCUGAUGAUUGUCUCACAUCAGUUUUGAACUUUGGGUCUGAUUUUGAUUUUACUCAGUUGGUAUGUUACUUCUUCAAUUGUUGGUCUGAAAUCAGUAACAGUCCGUGUUAGUUCAAUGCUGAUUUGCCUUUGGUAGUUAGUUGUGUUCGAUAUUGACCCUCUUUUUAAUUGUUGCUAUCCUUGAAUGCAUGCCAAGGGACUCGAAUUUGAGUCUCGCUCCUGCUUUCUCCUUAAUUUGGUCCAGGAUGUUUGCAAAGCAGGGACGCAUGUUUUUCAUUGUUAGGCCUACCCCUUCAUGCCUUUGGUUCUCUUAAUUAUGGCACGAGCCAUUCGUUGUUUUCAAAUAGUCAAAUCCAUUCUCUCUUCAAUGCAAAUGUUCUUUCAUAAGGCUGGCCUGAACUUGGAUUUAUUGUUUUAAAAUUGGUUCAAACUCUUAUCUUAAGCAGUGGUGACAUUUUUCCUUACUCCUUUAAUCAAUUAGUGGAGGGGAACUGUACUGGAUAACACAAAUAGCUUAUGGCCUCUUCAAAUUUUUAGUUUUCCUUUAAAAUAAGUCGAGGUGCGCCGCGCCAAAUAAAAUCUCAAAUGUGUGGCCCUCAAUUAUUUAUUUCUUUUAAAUCCUUAGAACUCGAGGCGCGCCAUUUAGCAAAUUUCUCAUGGCCCUCACAAAGUUAAGAACGCGUAGUUGCUUUAGGCGCGUUAUUUUAAUAACUUACCUUCCUAAACUAUGGUGUGCAUUACAUGUGACCAAAAUCCAAAUCUUAAAACGUUGACUAAAAUGUAUUUAGGAUUGCGGGUGCAUUUCAUGUGGCGCGAUCCAAAGGCACAUUUUCAACGACGUUCAAUCUUCUUUAAAAAUUAAUUAAAAGCGGUUAAAACUAAAAAUCUACACAUAGGUUCAAAAUUGUUUAAAAUCAGAUAAUUAAGCCGAAUAUAACAGUUGAGCGACCGUGCUAGAACCACGGAACUCGGGAAUGCCUAACACUUUCUCCCGGGUUAACAAAAUUCCUUACUCGGAUUUCUGGUUCGCGGACUGUUAAACAAAGUCACGCUUUUCCUCGAUUCGGGAUUUAAUACCGGUGACUUGGGACACCAUAAAUUAUCCCAAGUGGCAACUCUAAAUCUUUUAACAAUAAAUCCCAUUUCGAUUGUCCCUUAAUUGAAAAAACUCAUUUAUACCCUUUCCAGGGGUGUAGGUAAAAAGGAGGUAUGACAGCUGCAGAUAAAAAAUGUGCGGCGCAGAACUCCAGCUCCCACCAGAUGAAGACAUCUGCGGAUCGCACAUGGAAUUGUGCGGCCGCAGAACUUCCCGAGGGGUAUUUUUGUCCGAGAUUUUUAGCAUUGUACAAAUAGUCAAGCUUCACAAAAUUAGGUCAAGUUUGAACCUCUGAAGUUGUUGUAGCCAUUUUUCUUUACUAGUUUAGGAAGUUUUACAUUGCUUUGGUGUAUUUACAAUAAGUUUAAUCAUUUAAGCUUCCAUUAUGAGUUUAAUUCGUUUUUCUUCCUUAUUUUGUUCAAACCCCAUUAUAAAUAGCUAGACAUUUACUAGGGUUAUGACCCAACCCUAGUGUGUAAACCUUAUGGGUAUCUAAUUUCGUGCUUAUUUAUGAUUGGGUGUUGAUUAUUUAGCUUAGUUCGUGCUUUAAUUGAAGAAUUGAAGGUUGCAAACAUUAAUUCAUGUCUAUUUGACCUAGUAUCUACUUGAGUAAGAGGGACCUAGUCUAGGAUAACUUAGCUAACAAUGAAUUCGCUCAAUUGAGAGAUUGAUUGACCCAACUAAAGGGUGCAACCUAGAUAGUACUUAAGCUCUUAUUAACUAUUUUAUUGCAUACAACCAUUUCAUAUCUCUUUUGAGGUGUGCUUUGGACAUGAUUAAUUUUUGGCGUCGUUGCCGGGGAGUUAAAAAAUGAUGUUAGCUAUAUAUUUGGGUAUGUUUUUGGAAUAUCUUCUUUUCCUUCCAUGUUACUAACUAGUUUGAUAAAUCUUAAGUACAACCAUGGAAAACAAUAAUCUCGGGAAUAUAUCUUUAGGGGAUGUAGAUGUCGAGGAUGAGCAAGCUGAUGAGGUUCCUCUUGAACCUCAAGCCAAUAGAAGAGGCCGAGUGCCUCAUGACGAUGUCCCCGUUCCACCCCCACCUCCACCACGAGCGGCUCCUCACAGGGUGUUACCCAAUGAAGGAUAUGCUAGUAAAAUAGUCCCUCCUCAUAUUAGGGAAGAAAACUUUCAAAUCACCAAUGUGAUGCUCACUUUGCUAGAGCAAAGAGGUUUCUUCACCGGCGCUCCAAGUCAAAAUGCGUAAAAACAUUUAAAGGGGUUUGUGGACACUUGUUGGGGGAUAAAACAAACAAAUGUCUCUGGGGAUACAUUGACGCUAAGGAUUUUUCCCUUUUUUCUAUGGGGGAAAGCUUAAUAUUGGUUGGAACGUUUGCCGAACCAUUCCAUUCACACUUGGGAUGAGCUAGCGGAAAAUUUUAUUUCUAUCUCUUCUCUCUGGGGCACAUGGCUAAACUUCGGGAUGCGAUUUUGGCAUUCAAGUAAGAGCCAAAUUAACCACUAAACGAGACAUGGGAACCUAUAGAGCAAUGGUUAAGGAAUGUCCCAACGAUAUAAUGAAGAAUAUGAUUCAACAACUUUUUAUCGUGGGAUCAACACAACCAACCAAUGUGUAGUGAAUCAACUUGCCGGUGGGAACUUCAUGACUACGCCUUAUGCAGAGGUGUAUGAGAUUUUAGAUGAAAUGGAGGAAACAUCAUCGGUGUAGAAAUCCAGGGCUAAUGUUCCACAAGGUGAUCCUAACAGGUUCUACCUUGAAAUAUAGUUGCAUGACCAUGGGCAAGCCACUGCCAAAUUGACUACCAUCAUGAAUCAAUUAGCAAAGGCUCAACUUCAACAAGUGAAAAAUCCAAAGAAAGUCAAUUCCAUGGAGGGAGUGAACUUGAUGGUGAACAAAAGAAGGUCCAAGGGUCCACAAGUGCAACAUCGAGUGGAGAAUUAUAUACAAGAGGAUAGUGGUUUUGAUCAAGAUGAUUCUUAUAAUGAACAAGAAGAGGAGGUGCAAUAUGUGAACAACUUUCAAGGCACAAUCCAACAACAAUGGCGACCUCAAAAUAAUUAAGGCAAUUGGAAUUCUAACAACCAAGGAAAUCGGAGUAGUGGAAACAAUCAAGGAAAUUAGCAUAACAACAACAAUCAAGGAAAUUGGAUUGGCAAUAAUCAAGGAAAUCGAGGGGGGUAACAAUCAAGGUGGAUGGAACAAUAAUCAAGGCAAUUAGGGGUCGGGUUUUCAAAGGCCCUCGAUGUAUCAACAACCGAGCAACCCGCCUCCUUAUCCUUCCCAUGGUCCAAGUUCUUCAACCAAUGAGAUGGGGCAUAUUGAGAACAUGUUCAAGAAAAUGAUGGAAAAGAAUGCCGAUUCGGAUACCCAACUUUCCUCACACAACACAUCAUUCUACAACUUAGAAGUUCAAAUGGGGAAAAUCUCUCAAGCUCUAUAUUCUCAUCCUAAGGGGGCACUACCAACUGACAAAGUGGUAAACCCAAAGGGUGGAAACAACACGGGGCAUGCCAUGGCCAUUACUAUAAGAAGUGGAAGAGGUGGGAAUGCACCUACCUCAACUCAAAAACAACUUGAGGAUGAUGAGAAAGUGGUACAAGAAGAAGAGGCUCCGAACAAUAUGGUGCAAUCAAAUGAUAAAGUUUGGAUUGAUAUUGAUGAUAGUGUGGAAGAGAAUGAAGAGGAGGUGAACCCAUAUUGGGAUCACAUUAUUGAAAUACCGGAGCUGCUAGUGAAAAAGGCUAAGACGGCAUUUCCUAAGCCUCCACCUCUAUACUCUCAAAGACUUGGCAAACAAAAUGGCGAUAAUCAAUUCAAAAAGUUCAUUCAAAUGAUGACGAGUCUCUCAACCAAUGUGUCAUUAGUUGAAGAUUUGGAACUAAUGCCCGGUUAUGCAAAUUUUAUGAAAGAUCUCGUGACGAAGAAGAGGUCAAUGAAUUUUGAAACUAUCAAAGUCACUCAUCAAGUGAGUACAAUUGUGCAUUCAAUGUCUCCUAAGUUGGAGGAUUGUCAGGCCCUAAACCUGGGGGCGAGACCGCCACCUAGUGCCACACCUAUUCUUGCGUACCAACUUGAAACUAAGGGAAUCUGAACAUAUGAUGUCAUACUUUGGCCAUGGGCCACAUUGCAAGACAACUAUAAAUGCUGACUAAAUAUCAAUAUAAAGCUGGGCUGAUAAGGCCUUCAUAAUUAUUGCAGCUAACAAACCAACGCCUACAAGCCCAACAUAUUACACUAGCUGACAAGAUAUGCUUACAAGCCUCUAAUGGUGGAUAUACUUUGAUCGGAAUAGCUCCCCGACCUACUCAUAACAUAUAUACACAAGAUAUACAUAAAGCUCUAGACCCGGCAACUCCGAAGGGCAUGAAGCUUAUCGAUCAAGCUGAACUCGGGCAACACCUAAUGAAGAGGUCUACCCGUCUGUCUAUCUAAACCUGCACACAUGAAAUGCAGUACCCCCAGAAAAGGAAAGUCAGUACGAAAUAAUGUACCGAGUAUGUAAGGCAAUGUACUGAAAGCUGAAACAGAACUGAUAAUAUAAUAACUGCAAGUAGCUAGAAGUCAAACAUAAUCUGAAGAUAUGCUUACCUGCUGAUACUGACUCAGCUCUCUCAAUAUAGUAAGUAAAAUAGUUGUCCGACCGGGGCUCGCUCAUAGGCGCUCGGCCAUAGUAGGCUCGGUAUAUAACUUACCAUCUGAUUAGAGGUUGCCCAAUAGGGGCCUGCACAUCAAUUAUAGCUCGAUAGUAAUGAAAAUACUUUUAAUACUGUAUAUUUAAACUCUCUGUUCUCUUGACUGGAAGAAGGAAAUACUCAAUUGAAUAUAAAGUCCCGAUAAGGAGAAUAUUGUAACUUACAAAACUAGGAAAAUAUACGUAAUUUGCGGGACUAGCAAAUAUACGUAAAUUCCGGGAUAUGAAUUUUUCUUUAUGCCUUGUAUCAAACUUGUGUAAUGACGAGAUCAUGAAAAAAUGAAGGAAGGACUUAGUCUUAACGUACUUGAGCCGAUUCUCUUGACAAUACUUCUAACACACGCCAAUCUCGAUGAAACACGUAAUGGUGAAUCGAAGUAGGGGAAAAUUCGUGUGAUAUUCUUGAAAAAGAUUGUACCGUGCUCUCUUAGAAUCGCAAAGUCCUAUUGCGAUUACACAGUAUAACUUCAUUGCAAACCUCUUAGAAUUGCAAAUCCAUAUUGUUGCCUUCAAUUCGUAUAGAAUUGCAAUUCUCUUAGAAUUGCAAAUGUAAGAUAUGCAUUUUAGUGAUUAUCUUGGAGUCUUUAUCAAAUAGAGUGGGCCCCACUUGGAUGACUUAGUCACAAAAUUCUUCUUAAAAUGUGCAAAAUUCUUAAGAGUCAUUUUGUAUGUCAUUUUAGAAUUCGUGUGAUAUUCUUGGAUGUCAUUUUAGAAUUGCAAAAUUCUUUUUACAUGACUUAAGAGUCAUUUCUUGUCUUGAUCAAGACAACCUUGGGCUGCCACUUUAAGGUUUAAUCCUUAUCCAAAAAUUAUCUACUUAAUUCCAUAAUUAACUUGUUAAUCGCCCACUAACCAAUAAUUGACCAAUUAUCCACAUAAUUAAGAAUUAUCUCAAAUUACUUAAAAUACUACUCACUUUUAACACACCUUAUACACCUUACUAUUAUGGUCAUGUGGUAUCUUGUAUGGCACUAGCCCAUAAAUACCGGGUAUUUUAGCUCGGGCCGUAUUUUAUCUCAAGUGUCAAACUUUGAUGAAAAUUUAUUUUCUUUAACUUGCUUCCCCUCUCACCUUCACGAAUUUACUCAUCAUUUGUUUGAAAUAGCAUAACCCUUAUAAUCUCAAAAUAAUCUUUUCCUUGGACUGAUGUCAAUUACCUUACGACAAAUUCAACGUACAAUACGACAAGGUGCAACAUCGUCAUAACUUAAUACUGCAAAGCAUAACAUCAUCGUAAUGUAAUACUGCAAGGCGUAACAUCAUUGUAAUAUAAUACUACAUGAUGUAACAUCAUCGUAAUAUAAUACUGCAGGAUGUAAUAUCAACGUAAUAUUGCGGGGAGUAACAUCAUUCCCCCCUUUGGAAUAUUUGUCCUCGAAUGUUGGCUGAUGCACUUAUCAUUCUCAUAACUCAUAGAUCUUGCGAAUACUUUAAUAUUCUCCUUUCCGUUUAGGCAACUGUUCAUUGAAUAAAUUCUAAGGCCAGGGCAUUCCCCCCUUUAGGACUAUUUCUCAUGCCAUGACUUGUGAUCGAAUUCCUUCCAAUCUCGUAACUGUUGCUACCUCCUAUCAUGUAGCCUCUACAAUACUGAACUUGUCAGUGGGUCUAUGCAACUCUUCUCUCCUUUUUGCUUCAGCUUUUAGCCAAUCUCUAGGCCUUACUUAGUAAACAUAUACAAUGCUUAAUAGAAUGCCUCUCUAGGCAUCUAUAGGUGUACUGAAGUUCUUCGCUCGGUACUUUUUAGAACUUGCAAAUAUGGCUAUAUCUUAUUUCAUAGACCUGGUUAUCCUUUUGUAUGACUUUACUGCAUUUACGUAGAUCAUACUAUACCAUAAUUCUUACUUCGAUUUAUCGUUACAGAGGUCUACAACUAACUCCAGGUUACUCGCGUUGCUUAUCCUUAAGACUGAUGGUCUAAUCUCAUCUCAUACUGUUAAACUUUUAUCCAUCUAUUGUUGAUUCACCUUAAUGUUGGUUCAUCAUCUACCACUGAUAACUUGAUCUUUUAUGUAACACCGCCGCUAAGGCUCGCGUCUCACCGGGGACAUUUGGAGUAAUUAGAUUGAUCCACCUAGGGGUGUUACUAUACUUCCAUAACCAUACUUUAUAGCAUCCCAAUAUGACUUACCUUAUAUGAGUAUUUUAGUCCCUUACAAUUCAUGAAUCCUCUUUCCCCCCCCCACUCUUUUUUUUCUUCAAAUCAUUACUCAAGCGAAGGCCCAAAUGUCAUCCUUUAUUUAUCACAAUUACACCCUCAUUUUUGCUACCAGGGAAGCAUUCCAUAUCUUUUAAAUUCUACUAGUCUUAGACUCUUUUGAGCUCAUUUAGGCAAUAUUGAGCUUUCUAUAACUUAGAGGAACCAUCAGCUGCCUUGUUUUCACGGGCUUAAUCCCGAAGAAUUAUUCAUUUUCGUCACCUUUUCACUUGCUUUCUUCUUAUCCUUACUCUUGUCUUUCUAAAACCUUGUCAUUCUAUCAUACUUUAGCUUGCGAUCGAUUCCCUUAUGCUUUUCUGGAACAUCAAGCGAGGCAUCGCAUCGUCUCUAACUUUUAUUUUACUCUCUAAUUAGACCUUUCGGUACUUAGAAACCAUAGGCUGGAAGGUAUGCCAUUGACGAUGCUGCUAUCAUUCCUAGUUACUAAAUCCCCACACUUCUAGUCUUUUACCUGAAGUAUGGACCACUCUCAUCCUUCUAUACUUGAGUAUUUCGUACGUUGUUCACCUUUACCUUACUUACUUUAAAAUAUCACCUCACAUUCUUCUAUCUCUCUUUCAUAACCUCCCUGCAACAUAGGUAUAAAUCACAUCCACCAUUUGAAGCUCUAUUAUAAUACUUGCACCUCUGGUACCUAUACAAUCCGGUGGGAGUUCCAUACUGAAUUCUUAUGAGGCUGGUAUUUUUCUAACUGGCUUUAUUGUAGAGCCGUUAUAGAAUAUGGUUGUUGUGCUAUCUCUCUUGCACCUCUAAUAUUAAUAGUGAUGCUUCUAUGUUCUCAAUUAUUAUUCUUAUAACUUCUGGGUGCAAUAAUCGGAUUCCUGAUUUACUUCGUUGAUGUAACUCUUUUGUUUCCUCCUUCUUUUGAUUGGCCUUUAUGUCGGCUUAAGUUAUCUCCCUAUCUGGGGUUCAUGGUAUUAGUUAUUUUAUUUAGCCUUUCAUAGGCACUGAGGAAUAUGCAUGAUACAAUCCUUUAACAAUUUAAUCCUUCGUUUAUGACUUGGGCUCAAUUCUUUCUUUUAACGUAUACCCGAAACUUCUACGGCCGUAUAUGUUGCGUGUAUAAAACUUUGAAUACAUAAGUGCGUUCAUAAUGUAACUAACUCUGGAUCAUUGAUCGAAUAAUUUCUUUCGUUCCAUCUUAGCUUUCUUUCAACGUAAGCUAUUACAUUUCCUGGUCUUUCUUCCCCCUUGUUGUGUCCAUACUUAGCUUAUCUUAGUGCCCACACAUGCCAAAGUUUUCGUGCAAUUCAUAUGAUCUCGAAUAUUACUUCUAAUUUUACUUCCCGUUUAUUAGCCACGGUAGAUGCCACUUUCCUUUGGAGUGCUUACAAUGUUGUUGUAAGACUGUUGUUACAUGACCAUUUCCUCUUUAGGUCAUUGUGCUUAGGUUAAAUCCUUCUUCCUUAUUUCCUCAGCUAGUCUUUCAUUGUAGUACUUAGGGAGAACCCUUGACUCUCGUAAAUGUGUGAGCUUAUUACGGACCUUUUGAUGCCUUUCCUUGCCUAUAAUCAUCUGUAGUUGCUUACCUCCGUUCCCUUGUGCUUGUAGGGUUGCUUCUGAACUGAUAUUUUGACCGCCUUCCCAGUUGCACUUUCUUUUAUCCCCAUAACACUUAUACAGUAUCUUUAUCUACCCCGACUCCUAUUUGAAUAUAUCUCAAGUAUUAUAAUGACAUUACUACGAGGUUGAAUUCUCCAUGUUGGGGUUUACUACAUUUAUCUAGCAUGAUCUGCUGAUUUGUCUGCAACUUCUUGUCUAAUCAUGACUAGGCUCCUCCUGAAUUAACUACUAACUACUGGUCGGCCCAUUCUCAUAUCCAUAUUCCGCGUAAUCUUUCUUGGGUUAUUUUCUUGUCUUAACUUACCUCACGUACUGGCUCCUUAUCUAUUAAUAACAUCCCAAGCAGGAACCCUUACUUCCUUUUCUUGACGUCGUGCUUACAUAACGCUUUGGAGUCAUAGCAUAUCUGUAGGAUUUGGAUCAGUGCAAUCCCAUCCCUUUCUCAUUUUUAUUGCAUCCUUCCUUUAUCAUUCCAUAUUCCCCCCUUUAGGGGAGUACUAAGACUUGGAGCUACAAUGACCUGCCUAUAGAUGUUUUUCCUCUCCAUCUUUGGCGUCUUUUCGCAUCAUCAAUGACCCUUACUCGCCUUAUCGCAAUCCUUAUGUACCAAGGAUAACAAAAUUCCUCACUCUCAAUGGUGGCACUUAGUGUAACUGGAACAUAUAGUCCCUUAAGCUUAACUUUGCUCACAUUGCUUGCUUUAGGGAAGCGUAUUCCUAGAUGACCAUUUUUUGAAUUCAUCAUGGACCUUCUUCUAUUGUCCAUUCUAUUACUGCGAGAACGCAAUCUGAAAUUCUCAUGAUGCUGACUAUUAUUAAAUUACGCAGCUCCUAAUUUAUGUUUAGUUUAUCUUGUUCACUAGUCCAUAUUGAUUUCUAUUACUCUAGGGUCUAACCUUUCCUUCUGUUAAUCAUGUUAGAGCCGCAAACGUAUUUCUCGAAAUGAGGACGUGACUGUAUGGCCUAUACUCUUUUCUUGUCUUAAGGACCAUCACCUCUCGUCUCUUUCUUCAUUUGACUAUAGAUUAUGUAAUACUCUACUAUUGAAGGUAACUCAAAAUGCUUAUAUUUCUCUGCCUGAGUUGAAAAUACCGAUAAUCUUUAUUAACUGGGUACCCCGUACCCUUUUCACUUUGCUUCUGUUACUUGCUCGAACUCAUGUCUACUUUUCGAUUCUCUUUUUAUUUUCUUUUUUUCCUAUCGUAAAAGUGGAUAGUCAUUCUUUCCUUAGGGAUCCUUAUCAAGAAUCUUACACAUCUUAGUAUACACAUGGUCUGCUGAAUACUUCAUAUUUAUCCAUCAUAAGCAUGAUGCAAAAAUUGAGUUCUUCUAACUCAACUCUUCCACAACUAUAUCUCUUACCACCUAUCUUUCUGGAUAUAGGCAUCAUCAUAUUACGAAUAAAAUAGAAGUUCGGAAUUUGAAUUCUUAUAAGUGAGCUCUACCAAACGAUCUAGAGUAAGAAGAAAGAGUGACAGUCUUAAAUGCCCUGUAGCCUCCUGCUUAUAAGUGUGGUGCACAACACACCCAUAAACAAGACUCUACUAGACACGGCUUGUAGACUCCCUAGGACAGAACUGCUCUGAUACCACUUUUGUCACGCCCUGAACCUGGGGGCGAGACCGGUAGCCAGUGCCUCACCUAUCCUUGUGUACCAACUUGCAACUAAGGGAAUCUGAACAUAUGAUUUCAUACUUUGGCCAUGGGCCACAUUGCAAGACAACUGCGAAUGCUGACUAAAUAUCAAUAUAAAGCUGGGCCGACAAGGCCGUCAUAAUUAUUGCAGUUGACAAACCAACCAAAUAUACAUACAAGGCAUACAAGCCCAACAUAUUACACUAGCUGACAGGAUAUGUCUAAAAGCCUUUACUAGUGGAUAUAUAGUGAUCGGAACAGCUCCCCGACCUAAUCAUAACAUAUAUACAUAUAUACACAAGAUAUAUAUAAAGCUCUAGACCCGGCAACUUCGAAGGGCAUGGAGCUUACCGAUCAAGCUGAACUCGGGCAACACCUAAGGAGGAGGUCUACCUGUCUGUCUAUUUGAACCUGCACGCAUGAAAUGCAGUGCCCCUAGAAAAGGGAUGUCAGUACAAAAUAAUGUACCGAGUAUGUAAGGCAAUAUACUGAAAGCUAAAACUGAGCUGAUAAUAUAAUAACUGCUAGUAACUGGAAGUCAAAGAUAAUCUGAAGAUAUGCUUACCUAUUGAUACUAACUCAACUCUCUCAAUAUAGUAAGUAAAAUAGUUGUCUGGCCCUAUAAGGCUCGAUGUAUAUAUAUAUAUAUAUAUAAUAAACUGCGCUGCCAUAGUAGACUCGUUCAUAGGUGUACGGCCAUACUAGGCUUUGUAUCUCGGCUAACUGGGCUCGCUCAUAGGCGCUUGGCCACAAUAGGCUCGGUAUAUAACUUACUCUCUGAUUAGAGGUUACCCAUUAGGGGCCUGCCCAUUGAUUAUAGCUCGAUGGUAAUGAAAAUACUUUUAAUACUAUAUAUAUAUAAACUCUCUGCUCUCUUAACUGGAAGAGGGAAAUACUCAAUUGAAUAUGAAGUCCCGAUAAGGGGAAUAUUGUAACUUACAAAAUUAGGAAAAUAUACGUAAUUUGCGAGACUAGCAAAUAUAUAUAAAUUUCGGGAUAUGAAUUUUUCUUUAUGCCUCGUUAUCAAACUUGUGUAAUGACGAGAUCAAGCAAAAAUGAAGGAAGGGCUUAGCCUUAACGUACCUGAGCCGAUUCUCUUGACAAUCCUUCUAACACACGCUAAUCUCGAUGAAACACGUAAUGGAGAAUCGAAGUAGGGGAAAAUUCGUGUGAUAUUAUUGAGAAAGAUUGUACCAUGCUCUAUUAGAAUCGCAAAAUCCCAUUGCGAUUACACAGUAUAACUUCGUUCCGAAUCUCUUAGAAUUGCAAAUCCGUAUUGUUGCCUUCAAUCCUUAGAGAAUUGCAAUUCUCUUAGAAUUGCAAAUGUAAGAUAUGCAUUUUAAUGAUUAUGUUGGAGUCUUUAUCAAAUAGAGUGGCCCCACUUGGAUGACUUACUCACAAAAUUCUUCUUAAAAUGUGCCACCUUUUUACGACUUAAGAGUCAUUUCUUGUCUUGAUCAAGACAACCUUGGACUGCCACGUUAAGGUUUAAUCCUUAUCCAAAUAUUAUCCUCUUAAUUCCUUAAUUAACUUAUUAAUCGCCCAUUAACCAAUACCGGACCAAUUAUCCAUAUAAUUAAAAAUUAUCUCAAAUUACUUAAAAUACUACUCACUUUUAACAAACCUUAUACACCUUAUUAUCAUGGUCAUGUGGUACUUUGUAUGACAUUAGUCCAUAAAUACCGGGUAUUUUAGCUCGGGCCGCAUUUUAUCUCAAAAUGUCAAACUUCGACGAAAAUUCAUUUUUUUUGACUUGCUUCCCCUCUCACCUUCACGAAUUUACUCAUCACUUGUUUGAAACAGCAUAACCCUUAUAAUCUCCAAAUAAUCUUUUCCUUAGACUGAUGUCAAUUACCUUACGACAAAUUUAACGUAUAAUACUAUAGGGUGCAACAUUGUCGUAAUUUAAUACUGCGAAGCGUAACAUCAUCGUAAUAUGAUAAUGCAAGGCGUAACAUCAUUGUAAUAUAAUACUGCAGGACGUAACAUCAUCAUAGUAUAAUACUGCGGGAUGUAAUAUCAACGUAAUAUUGCGGUGCGUAACAAGGAUCCUAGAGCUUUCACGAUUCCUUGUACAAUUGGAAGUUCCGAGUUUGCUAAAGCUCUUUGUGAUCUUGGGGAAAGUAUCAAUUUGAUGCCCUAUUUGGUUUUCAAGACCUUGUGAAUUGGGCAACUAAGACCCACCUCUAUGAGAUUGCAAAUGGUCGAUCGUACUAUGAAGAUACCUCUGGAGUUGAUUAAGGAUAUCUUGGUUCGUGUUGAUAAAUUUAUUCUUCUAGUGGAUUUUGUCAUUCUAGAUAUUGAAUUUGAUUAUGAGGUAUCGGUUAUUCUUGGAAGACCUUUCCUUGCUACGGGGAAUGCUCUUUGUGAUGUUGAAGCUGGAGCACUCACCUUCCUGGUGGUUGAUGAACAAGUGAUUUUCCAUGUGUGUAAGUCCAUGAACCAAAUAGCAACAAGGUGUGCUCUUUCAUGGACUUAGUGACCGAUGUUAUUGUUGAUAAAAAAAGUGCCACAAUCAAUGUUGGUGAUAUGUUGGAGGCCUUCUUGCUCAACUUUGAUGAUGACGAGAUGGAUGGCUUCAUGGAAUGUGUGAACUCUUUUUAAGGAAUGGAGUUAUACAAAUAAGCACCCCGGAAACUAUCUUUGGAUCUUGAAAAUAGGACAAGUGAUGGUAGGCUAUAAUCUCAUGUUUUAGUCAAUUAUUACAUUCCAAUUUACUGCACUUUAGUUGAGUUUGAGCUUUAAUCGCGAGUAUUUUGCACUAAUUAUGUGUUUUACUCCUUGCAAAAGUGAUUCCGAGCUAUAUAGAUGUUUUGAAAUGAAUUCAAGUAAUUUUGAGCUUUGAAGUCUGAGUAAAAUCCUAAGGCAUCAAUCCUGGAUCGUGUUCGGGGAUCAAUGGAUGGUAGUUAAGAACGAAUGAAGAAUCGAGCAGGCAUAUUGCGCGGUGUCCAGUAAAAUGCACAUAACUUUUAGCUCGAAACUCUGUUUGGACUGCACAAUAUAUUGUUGGAAAGAUAGUUCAAAGGGAUACAACUUUUGUGUUUUAUAUUUGAUCAAAUUCCCAACACAACUGGGUGAAACGUGCAUGAAAAGUGUGCAGCCGCGCACUUACCGCGUAUAUGGGGCAGAACAGCGUGAAAAGUGCGCAGGCGCACUUCUAGGUGUGCGGCCGCACACGUCCAGUCCGGGAAAAGUAUCCUUUUUCGUGUAGGAGAAGGUGUAUUUGUUUGGGUCUGACCCUACUUGGUAUAUAUACAUGGAAAAACGGUAUUUUGAGGACUUUUGACACAUUUAAGACCUAAUGAGGCUAAGGAGAAGUUAGAGAAGCAAGAGCACAAGGAAUCCAUCAUUCAAUCUCAACUCAAGACAAGGGUUUGGAUUGUUUUAUCUUUUUCUUUACUUUAAACUUAAUUGUGAUGAAUUACUCCCGGUGUUUGGAGUAGUUCUUUUUCGGGUUUGAUGGAUUUGGUGUAUCGAUACUUGUGUGUGGAUAAUUAACCCUAGUUUUUAUGUAUUGAAUCGUUUUGGAUGCUUUUAUCGUUGCAUCUAUAUUUGCUAGUUCAUGUAAUCGAGAGAGGAAUAACUUGUGAUAUUUUUGCAUUCUAUCUUGUUGGUUGAAUUCAUUAAUUCUUCUUAGUAAUCGAAAGAGUCUAGUAGAAUUAUUGAUUAAACCUAGUUAGGAGGAUAAUCGAGAGAGAUUCUCCUAAAGACCAAUCCACUACGAAUUCUUGCAUAUCUUCACGUGCUUAAAAUUGGUUCAUCUUGUGAGAUUGAGACUUAAUUGAGAGAGGAGUUUCUACUGAUCAAUUGAAUUAAUAACCAAGUGUUCGAGAGACUCACUUUAACAUUAGAAGUGAAUUAACUAGAUUUUAAUCCCGAACAUUUGUCUUGCACCUAUCCUAUCAACCCUAUCUUCUCCCAAUUGAUAUCUUCCUUUGCUUAAUACUUGUUUUGAUUGUCAUUAGCCAAUAGUUUAGAUUCUUAGUUAAUUUUAUCUUUAAAUCUCAAUUGUUGAUCACCUUGGAUAGCAAUCUAGCUACAAACAACGAUAAGAUGUUAACUCCAAUCCUUGUGGAUACAAUAUUAUACUUACUAUAUUCGACUAGUGAGCAUUGUGUUUCAAGCUCGUCAAAUUUCGGCGUCGUUGCUGAGGAUUGGCAAUCAAUAGUGUUCGAAAUAGUUUGUAGUGCUAAUUCAGGAAUUUUUCUUUUUAUUUUAUUUUUUCUUUUUACGCUUGGUAUUCUUUGACUGUGCGCAUGCUACAGGUUAGAUUGGUGCAUGACUCGAUCUUAUGGUAAGGAAUUACAACCAUACAAACCAAAAAUCAAAAAACAUCUGCGACAAUUGAGGAAGGAAAGAAAUCUUCCCAAGAAUACAAAAACGGUUGGGCAAUCCUCAACCAAAGAAAGGAUGGCGGGAGAUGAUGAUAAUGUUGAUUUGGCUGCGGGAGAGGCAGCCCAACUCGGAGAAAAAGCUACAAGAGAUGCUGAAGAAGCAAAACUUAGAGAUGAACAAAUUGUUUAUGAGGAGGAGAUGGCUCGAAGAAUGGCUCAGAAUUAGCCCUUGGGUGCAGAACAGUUCGGUGAUGUAGCCCCUGGCCAAGGGAUACCACUUGGUGAUUAUGCUAGACCAGUCUACGACCAAGUUUUAUCAAGUGUGAGACCACCUCCAGUUGUAGCCAACGAUUUUGAAUUGAAGCAAGGGUUGCUUCAAAACCUCCAAAACAAUUGUGUCUUUAGAGGAAAGAUGAACAAAGAUCCAAACAAUCAUCUAAUGGACUUCAAGGAGAUCAUUAACACCUUUCAAUACAAGGUGUGUCAUAAGAUGCAAUGUACUUAAGGGCAUUCCCCUUCACUCUGAAAGAUCAAGCAAAACACUGGCUUCGAAGCUUGCCUCAAGGAUCAAUUAGAACAUGGGAGGAUACGACCUCAAAAUUUCUUGCUAAAUAUUUCUCCUUGGCUAAGAUGGGCAAGUUUAGAAGAGAAAUCCAUAACUUCUGCAAGAAUGAGACUGAGACUGUGUUUGAAUCAUGGGAGAGUUUGAAGAGAUUGUGCGAAAGUGUUAACAUAGCGGGAUUGAAAUCUGGAUGCAACUCCAAGACUUUUGGGAUGGUUUGACACCAACCUCACGUAGAACAUUGAGCAAUGCAGUUGGAGGUCUGUUAAUGAAGAAGACUCAAGAGGAGAUAGUCACUAUUCUAGAUGAGUUAUCUGAAGAUGCAAAUCAGUGGCCCUCAUGGAUUGCUGAAAGAAGAAGAUCAACUAGUGUUCACCUAGUUGAUACUAACACAUCUGUGCAGGUACAACUUGAUUCCAUGGCAAAAGAAAUCAGAAAGCUAAUCUUGGCCUCAAUACACAAUGAGCCUCACGCAGCAUGUGAUAUAUGUGGAAGAGGACACCCUACUCAUGAGUGUCAAGCUACCAUGGAGGAAGUUAAUGUUGUGGGUAAUUACAAUUUCAAUGCAACGGGUCAGAAGCACACCUGUUUUUCAUGGAGUUCACUUGGGGGUACAACAAAUUCAUGGCAACAAAAUAACUCCAGAUUUCAAGGAGCUUUUGGUUUUGUGAAUUAGCAGAGGCCGCAGUUUCAGCCUCAACAACCAAUUUAAUCUAGGUUAGAAGAUCUAAUGAAAUCCUUCAUUGUCAAGACUGAUGAAAGAUUAUUGUUCAUGGGGCAGCUAUCAAGGAACUUGGGACAAGUUUGCGUAAUUUAGAGUGACAAGUGGGAUAAAUUGCAACUGUAUUAUCUGAAAGGAUUCCAAGUACUCUGCCUACUGAUACCGAAAAUAAUCCCAAAGAAAUGUUAAAUGACGAGACCUUGAGAAGCGGACAAGUAUAAAGGAUCCCACUCCAUUUCACAAAGAAGUUGCGCCUGAAGAAGAAAGUGGGAAGGAGCUGAAAAUUGAAGAUGAUAAAAAGACUAAAAAGAAGAAAGGUAAGAAGGGAGUAGAGAAAAAGAAGAAGGAGGAAACUUCAAGAAGGUAGGAAUCUGAAGAUGUGAGCAAGCACAUGCCUGCUCUACCUUUUCCACAAAAACUCUAUAGAGAAAAACUAGACAAGCAGUUCGAGAAAUUUUUAGAUAUGCUAAGUCAGGUUAAUGUAAACCCGCCAUUCACUGAAGUUCUCUCACAAAUGCCAGCUUAUGCAAAGUUCUUGAAGGAGUUACUUACAAAGAAUAGGAAGAUAGAAGAGACCUCAGUGGUCAAGCUCACAGAGCAUUGCAGCGCGAUCAUACAAAAUAAACUCCUACAAAAGUGUAGAGAUCCAGGGAGUUUUACUAUACCUUACUCUUUAGGCACUCUUAACCUUAAUAAAUUUUUAUGUGACUCUGGUUCCUCAAUUAAUCUAAUGUCAUUGUCUGUUUACAGGAAACUGGAGAAGGAGAUUGGAGAGAUAAGGUCAGUGCUAAUAUCUUUGCAGCCGGCAGACCAAACGACUAUAACACCCGAGGGGAUAGUAGAAGAUGUUUUGGUGCGGGUGGAUAAGUUCGUAUUUCUUGUAGAUUUCAUAGCGGUGAAUAUAAAGGAGAACAAGGAGUUCUCCCUCAUCCUAGGAAGACCAUUUUUAGAAACGAGUGGAGCUAUAUUGGAUAUAUAUGAUAGAAAACUUAUUCUUAGAGUGGGUGAAGAGAUGGUGAUUUUUGAGAUGAAUAUAGCAACUGGAGUGAAAAAGGAGAAGCCAGCUGCAAGUGUUGAGUGUAAGGUGAAGGGUGUGAAAGAGAAGGUUGCUAUUAGUGAAAAAGAUAAGUGUUGGGUGUAACUCAAGAAGGCUAAGAAGAAGUUGUCUGCAUGGAUGUGUGCACUAGUUCGGGCGCGCGGAAUGGAGCCCGACUUUGAUUCAGACCCCGACUAAAUAUUCAGGAAAGUUUCCUCUACCUUAUGCUUUUUAAUUGUGUGUCGGGGACAUGCCACAACUUAAAGUUUGGGGUGGGGGAUAUUGUAUGUUGUAUGUAGAUUAGUCUUAGUUUUUGCUUUAAUUAGCUUGAUUGUUUUUGGUUUUGUUAGUUAGUAAAAAUAUUGGAAAAAAAAGCAUUAAAAUUUUAAAAGUUUUGAUUUUUCCCGAUGAUGGAUAUCAUUCGACGGGUUUCUUGAGGGAUAUAAGUCGAAAGAAAACUAUCAAAAAGAUUUUCUUUUGUUAGGUAGUGUAUUCAUUCCCACUUGGUUUUUCUUUAUGAUGCGAUUCUUUUCUAAGGGUUUUGUUUGAACUGGGUGUAGUUAGUUUAUAAUUUUUUUAGGAGUAGGAAACCUUGUGAUACGGUUUCAAAUGAAAACAAUAUCUCUUGACCAUGUUAUGCCUUGAGAAUAGUAAGUGACUUAGUUGUGAUGCUUAGGCUCAGUUUUUGACUCUUGUAUAAGUACCUUAAAUUGUAUGAUCUUAACUUUGCCUAACUACUUUGACUUGAGUGUCUUGAUAGUCCGAUCCUGAGUGAGUUAUGUGCCAUGUGUGUGAGGUUUGUGUUAUUCUGUGCAUUACAUUUGAUGUCUAGAACUUGACCCGUGUGUUUGCAAAAUGAAAUAGUAGUUUAGUCAGUCUUGGAAGUGAUAUAGGCAUUUCUUUGUUGAGCCAGAUAUAUGUGUUGUACCCACCUAAUUGUUAUCUAUCUUAGUUAAUCUUUUUGAGCCUAUAAUCAUGUUUCUUUGGUAACCACAUUACAAUCCUUAAACAUUUGUUUGAAUUGAUCAUCUUUUUGAACCCUGUACCUCUCAUGAGCACUUAAAAUUGUUAUGAACUUUGUAAAAGUUGAAGUGUGGGGUAGUUGAUUUGGCUUUUGAGUGGAAUUAAUUAAAUAAGGAGAAAGGUGCAUUAUUUUGAAAAAGUAAGAGCAACGUGAAUUGAACAAAAAAAGAAAAAAAUAGGUGUACUGUUCUAAACGAGAUUCAUUGAUAAGUGGUAACUCUAGAUGUAAUUAUGCUUAACUAAUUUGGGAAAUUAAUGCAUGUUGAUGUCAUGGUGGAGUAUGGUUUGACAUAAGUGUGAGGUUUGAAUGUUAAAGUGCUUAGGGGUGUGUAGUCACUCUUAUAUCUAAAUGUAUCAUACUCGUCCCGUAGCCUACACUACAACCAGUUAGAAGUUCUACUUGAUCCUUGACUAAUUGAGCUCGAUUAUUAGAGUAGUACACUACGGGCAAUCCUAUGGUUCUUCUUUUGCGACAUAUUAAUGUUGUUUCUAAGAGUGAGUGAAUUCUUUUUAUCUUUAGUUUCUGGUUGUUCUUAAUUUUUGUUGUGUGUGGAACUAUUCUCUUUUGUUGUGUGAGGGCACAUGAUUCAUGAAAUAAAGGUAAUGUCAUUGGAAUCUAUGUUAGAGUAAGUGAGUGAGUUGUGAAUAAUGCGCGGUACGUGUGAGUCAAAUCAUGAGGUGAAGAUGUUACAUUGUUAUGCUUAGUCUAUUUUAAAUAUUCUUAGUGUAAUGAGUUAGGAGAGUUGCUUAGUAAGGUUGUGUCUAUAUAAAGUGUGGUUUGAUUGCUCGAGGACGAGUAAUGGCUUAAGUGUGGGGUGUUGAUGGUAGGCUAUAAUCUCAUGUUUUAGUCCAUUAUUACAUUCCAAUUUACUACACUUUAGUUGAGUUUGAGCUUUAAUUGCUAGUGUUCUGCACUAAUUAUGUGUUUUAUGCCUUGUAGGAGUGAUUUCGAGCUAUGUAGAUGUUAUGGAAUGAAUUCAAGUGAGUUGGAGCUUUGAAGUCUGAGUAAAAGCCCAAGGUAUUAAUCUGGGAUCAUGUUUGGGGAUUAAUAGAUGAUAGUUGAGAACGAACAAAGAAUCGAGCAGGCAUACUGCCCAGUGUCCAGUAAAAUGCACAUAACCUUUAGCCCGAAACUCCAUUUGGGUUGCACAAUAUAUUGUUAGAAACAUAAUUCAAAGGUAUACAACUUUUGUGUUUUAUGUUUUUUCAAAUUCCCAACAAAUCAGGGUAAAACGUGCACGGCAAGUGCACGUCCGCGCACUUUACUGCGCAUAUGAGGCAUAACAACGUGAAAAGUGUGCGGCUAAGUGCGCGGCCGUGCAAGUCCAGUCUUGGGAAAAAUGUCCUUUUUUCGCGUAGGAGAAGGUGUAUUUGUUAGAGCCCUACCCUAAUUGGUAUAUAUACAUGGAAAAACGGUUUUAUGAGGACUUUUGGCACAUCUAAUACCUAAGAAAGCUAAGGAGAUGUUGGAGAAGCAAGAGCACAAGGAAUCCAUCAUUCAAUCCCAACUCAAUACAAGAGUUUGGAUUAUUUUAUGUUUUUAUUUACUUUAAACUUGAUUGUGAUAAAUUACUUCAUGUGUAUGGAGUAGUUCUCUUUAGGGUUUGAUGGAUUUGGUGUAUUGAUACUCUAUUGUAGAUUAUUAACUCUUGUUUUAAUGUAUUGAAUCGUUUUGGAUGUUUUUAUCGUUGCAUCUAUAUUCGCUAGUUCAUGUAAUCGAGAGAGGAAUAACUUGUGAUAUUUUUGCAUUCUAUCUUGUUGGUUGAAUUCAUUAAUUCUUCUUAGUAAUCGAAAGAGGCUGGUAGAAUUAUUGAUUAAACCUAGUUAGGAGGAUAAUCGAGAGAGGUUUUCCUAAAGACCAAUCCACUACAAAUUCUUGCAUAUCUUCAUAUGCUUAAAAUUAGUUCAUCUUGUGAGGUUGAGACUUAAUCGAUAGAGGAGUUUCUACUAAUCAACUGAAUUAAUAACCAAGUGAAUUCGAGAGACUCACUUGAAUAUUAGAAGUGAAUUAACUAGAGUUAAAUCCCAAACAUUUGUGUUGCACCUAUCCUAUCAACCCUAUCUUCUCCCAAUUGAUAUCUUCCUUUGCUUAAUACUUUCUUUGAUUGUCAUUAGCCAAUAGUUUAGAUUCUUAGUUAAUUUUCGUUUUAAAUCACAUAAAUCUCAAAUGUUGAUCAUCUUGGAUAGCAAUCUAGCUACAAACUAUGAUAAUAGAUGUUUAACUCCAAUCCAUGUGGAUACAAUAUUAUAAUUACUAUAUUCGACUAGUGAGCAUAUUUAAGUAUGUGUUUCAAGCUCGUCAACAAGUCCUCCUACAAAGCCUUCCAUUGAAGAGCCUCCUACCUUGGAAUUAUUGAAGCCAUUGCCUCCAUAUCUUUGGUGUAAAUUGUUUGGCCCUUGUUAUACUUUAUUGGUUAUUCUCUCUUCUUGUUUGACUAACGUGCAAGUGGAUUCUACAUUGGUGGUGCUACAAAAAAGGAAUAAGGUUAUUGGGUGGACAUUGGCGGAUAUUCGAGGGAUAAGCCCGCAUUUUACAUGCAUAAGAUUAGAUUGGAGGAAGGUGACAAACUAUCUAUUGAGCAUCAAAAGAGACUCAAUGAGGCUAUGCAAGAAGUUGUCAAAAAGUAAAUUAUCAAGUGGUUGGAUGUUGGGGUUGUCUAGCCCAUCUCCGAUAGUUCAUGGACUUCUCCGAUUCAAUGUGUCCCGAAGAAGGGGGCCAUGACGGUGGUCACCAAUGACAAGAAUGAGUUGAUUCCUACAAGAACGAUGACCCGUUGGAGUGAGUAUGGACUAUCGCAAGCUCAACAAAUUCAUAAUGAAGGAUCAUUUCCCACUUCCUUUCUUAGAUCAAAUGCCUGAUAGAUUGGCCGAUCGUGCAUUCUAUUGCUUUCUUGAUGGGUAUACAGGCUACAACCAAAUCCUUAUUGCUUUGAAGAAUCAAGAGAAAACAACCUUUACAUGUCCCUAUGGUACUUUCUCCUUCAAGCGGAUGCCAUUUGGUUUGUGCAAUGCACCGGCGACUUUUCAAAGGUGUAUGAUGGCUAUCUUCAUGGACAUGGUGGAGGACUACCUUGAAGUUUUCAUGGAUGACUUCUCGAUGAUGGGAGAUUCUAUUGAUGAUUGUCUUGCAAAUUUAGAUAAAAUGUUGGCAAGAUGUAAAGAAACAAAUUUGGUGCUCAAUUGGGAGAAGUGUCAUUUCAUGGUCGAGGAAGGCAAUGUUUUUGGCCACAAAAUCUCAAAGAAUGGAAUUGAAAUCGACAAGGCAAAGAUUGAGGUAAUUUCUAAAACUCCACCUCCAUUCGGUGAAGGGUGUCUGGAGUUUCUUAGGCCACACGGGGUUGUGCCAGCAUUUUAUCAAAGAUUUCUCGAAGGUGGUGAACCAGUUUUGCAAACUGCUUGAAAAGCAUGCUAAGUUCAACUUUGAUAAUGAUUGCAUGAGAGCUUUCGAAUUGUUAAAUUUCAACUUGACAACUACUAGCCCUAAAAUAGACCUUUUACUGUCAUUAGAGAGUCUACAAAAUUGUGACUAAAAUGUGUGGCUACAGGUCUAAUUGUACGGACCAUAGAAAUCAUGUUGCGGCCGCACAAAAUCCAAUUCUCUGUCAUCAGAGAGUUGGCACAUUUUGGAUUUCUGAGUUUCGGCCACAAGAAAAAAUGUGCAGACGGCACUUCACUUUUUGCGGCCGCAAGGAAAAUAAUUGUGCGGUCUGCAAGACCUCAUCUGUGGCCACAAGAAAAUUUUACAGACUACAGAUCCUUAUCCUGCUAGAAUGAUUAAACUGUGACCCCCACUGUGUUCUUGGUGUGUACUUGCAUAUCUCCUUGUUUAACUGAACAUGGAAUUGCAACUAACAAUCACUUUUGCUUGAUACAAAUAAUGGUUCGAUCUAGAGACAGAGGAGACACUUCUAAAGGGAGGGGUCAACCUUCUAGGUGUCGAGACAUGAGUUCCUUACCCCUCGGCCAGCAAAGGACAAUAGCAAAGAAAGCUACAAUCGAUAGAGGGAGAGGUGUAGAUUUCUAUGAGACGAGCUCUUAUGUCUCAUCUAAGGAAGCAUCAGAGGGCAACUCAGCCUCUAUUCAAGGGAAGUCGACUGUAUAGUCAAAGCCACCAGGGAGAUAUCAACUCAGGAACGAGUCGUCCUCAUCUUAUAGUACUUCUAAGGGUUCAAAAAGUGCUAGUCAGGUUCUGAGCCAUCCACUACACCUGCCCCUGAGGCACAAGAUACAUCAGUUUAGGACAUCACCAAUGAUGGCAGAGGGGGAGAUGCUACAACUGCCGACCUUGAAAGGUUAAAGAAAAAAGAAGUCUAGGAGGACUGUUUUGUUUUUUUGGCUACCUUUACCAGCUUUCGUACUUGGUGGCCAGUGAGGUCGUUUACUCUUGAGCAACAGUUUCGGUUGAAAUAACUGGAGAAGUACAACCCAGCAGUGUUGAGACAGUUCAAUGAAUUCAAGGGGUGGAUGUGGUUCACCUACAGUGUGGUGAAUGGAAAAGAGUACCUUGUCCGUGAAUCCUACGCCAAUAUGGCGCAUAUCAAGAAGGGGACAAAGGUCACCAAAGUGCGUAACCUCAAAGUAAGAUUUGAUCAGCAUACACUCAAUGCAUACUUGGAUUUUGAAGAUGUUGAGCCAAAGGAAUAUCUGGAGUAUUUUGUAAUGGGAUAUGCAGCCCGGCCUUGGUUAGCGGAGAUUCUAGAAGCACCAGGGCUACCACCACCCUGGAUGGCCAUUGGGGUUCCUAUUCAUAGGAAUACUCUGAGUUUUGAAGCGAAGGGGUGGCAAACCUUUGUCUGCAGCAGACUAGACCCAUGCUAGAACGAGACCUACCUUCCGAUUCCUCAGGCAAUCUUAGCUGCUUCUAUCAUGACCGGGUACCCUAUCAAUAUAGGGGACGUGAUGUCGGCCAAUAUGUUGGUGAUUGCUUGGCAAGAUGACAAGUCCUAUCCAUAUCCCAACACUAUCACGGAAUACCUCACACAUGCUAAUGUAGAUCCAAGGGAUUAUAACUCAAAGGUGAAGCUGAAGAAGCCUUUCACUUGGUAUAAACUGAUGGAUGCAAAAAAUCUGAAGAAGAAAGUUCAGCCUCCUACCAGUGCGGGCCAGUCUGAUGAACUUGCUAUAAUAUCUGCCGAGGUAGUUGAUAUUCCAUCCACUUUGGUCGAUCCUUCAUCCAGUGCCACAACCAUACAUCUAUCAUCAUCCACAGCCCCUUCUACAACUCCCGCCACAGCUGCUACUUCGGCUUUGAAGCUGGUGCACAUGCCUAUUGCCCCACUUUCUACGUUGUGAGUCUCCCAGACAUUGGCGAGCCUCAACAACUGGAUGCAGACAACAACUGCAAAGUUUUCUGACUUAUCUAGUAGUGUUGCAUCAUAGUCUACUAUUCAGGAAUCUCAGCUUCCCCCGACAGUUGAGGAGAUAUUUUAGAAGAUUCUCGAGAACCAGAACACCAUUAUGGCUACCUUGGUAUUGCACGGGGUCAGUGAAGAGCUAAGAAAAGAAAUAGAGAAGAUGAGAAAGUCCCCGGCCAUUAAGAAGUCAGUGGAAAAGCUUCGGAGAUAGGUGACCAAGCUUGCUGCAGCCGAAGAUAUCCCCUUUGAUAUGUUGAUUGACCACACCAUUCAUUCCCAGAUCCUACAGCACCAUUAGCAACGUUGGCACCAACUGACUAGUCUGAGGAGCCAAACUUUGCUGCCAACACUACCGAGGCAGUGCGUCAGAUGUUCCCCAACCCAGUCACACCCAAAGUUGACGAUGAUGAGAUUCAGUUGUAUAAGACUAAGGGAGGUGACAUAGCCGGGGACACAGAGAUGUCCAAGGAGCCAUAAGGAGUUUUCUUCACUUUUUCCCCCCUUUUACUCUUAUUUUGUUAAGCAUGGGGGACAAUUCUUAUCUUUAUUAGGGGGGGAGUGGAGUUUAUUGAUCAUAUUUGGUACAUUCUGAGAUAUUUGGCCUGUAAUGACUUGAUAUUAUUUUCUUUUUCUUUCUUAUUCUGUAUAUAUUCUCUCUUUUUCACUCAUUAUGUGUAUUCAAUAGUUUUUGUUUAUAAGCUUAUUUAUUUUUGUUCCUUUGUUAGUUCUUAGUUUGAGUUAGUAGUUUCUUUCUUUGAUUUAGUAGCUUCUUUUUACGUUCUUAUGGAUAAUAAGCCUUUGGUUUCCUUAAUGCCACAGUUCUUUCCAAAGGUAGUUGUUGUGUGAACUGAGUGACUCGUCCCAACUAUAGAUGGCGUGACAACCUUCUUAAGGGAAUGAGUCCAUUUUUUGUGUUUAGGUAAUAAUAGUAGUAGUAAUGAAUAAAAAGACCUAAUUAAUUCAUGCUCGAAGAGUUAAACAUGCUUCAAUUGGUACCAACACACUUCACUACAUGCUUAUAGUUAGAAACAAGGUUUUUGAAAGAAAUAACUCUAGUUAGUGACUUUGUAACUCUCGUGUUGACUUUGGCAACCAUCGAGUGGUUUAAUUGAACCAUAGUGAUUUUUAAACUUGAAUAUGGUCAUUGUGGGCCCUCGACUCUAUCCUCUUUCACAAUCCGGUUGCGUGAGGGGUGAGAUAAAUUGUUGCUAGUCCAAGUAUCCAUGUGAAGGGUCUAGAACUUACCCCGAAUGUGUUUCAAGAAAAAAUCCUAAGUUUUGCUUGGUUUGAAAAGUAAUUGUAGGCCCUCCUUGGCGCGUUUGAGUUUUCUAUUGCCAACCAAUGUCAUUAUCCCUAGUCAACCCCUUUGAGCCUCGAGCCUUUCUCAUUUGAUGACCAUGUUAUAAGCCUUUACCAGUUUUGUCGUGACCCUCUCUUGGUACCCAAGCUUUCCUUAACAAUCUUGUGAAACAACUGGCUAAUAAUAUAAGUUUGGGGGAGAGACAAGAAACUUGAAAAAGGUAUCAAGGAACAAAAAGAGAAGAAAAUAUAAGAAGGAAAAGAAAGAAAAAGAAAAGAACAAAAAGAAAAAUGGUAUAUAUAUGAAUGACAAUGGAACUCAGAGCAAGAAAUAAAUAAAUAAUCCUUUCACAGUGUCACGCCCCGAGCCUGGGGGUGAGACCAUCACCUAGUGCCUCACCUAUUCUUGCGUACCACUUGCGACUAAGAGACUCUAAUAUGUAAUGUCGUACUUUGGACAUAGGCCACAUUACAAGAUAAUGUGCGAUGCAAAAUAUAAAACUACAUAGAGACUAACACUGACUAAAUGUCAACAUACAGCUGGGCCGGCAAGGCCAUCAUAAUUACUACAACUAACAAGCCAACAAAAUAUACAUACAGGGCCUACAAGCCCAUCAUAUUGCACUAACUGACAGAAUAUGUCUACAAGUCUCUACUGAUGUAUAUAUUGUGAUCGGAACAGGGCCCUAACCUAUUCAUAACAAAUGAACAUAUAUAAACAGGAUGUACAUAAAGCUCUAGACCCGACAACUCCGAAGAGCAUGGAGCUUACCAAUCAAGCUAAACUUGGGCAACCCUAAUGAGGAGAUCUACCUGUUUGUUUGUCUAUACCUGCACACAUGAAAUGCAACACCCCCCAGAAAAGGGACAUCAGUACGAAAUAAUGUACCGAGUAUGUAAGGCAAUAUACUGAAAACUGAAAUUGAACUGAUAAUAUAGUAACUGCAAGUAGCCGGAAGUCAAAGAUAAUCUGAAGAUAUAGUAAGUAAAAUAGUUGCCCAACCCUAUAAGGCUUGGUAUAUAUAUAUAUAUAUAGAUAUAUAUAUAUAUGCUCUGCCGUAGUAGGCUCGCUCAUCGGCACUCGACCAUACUAGGCUUUGUAUAUCGACCAAUUGGGCUCGCUCAUAGGCGAUCAGCCACAGUAAUAUCGGUAUAUCACUUACCAUCUGAUCAAAGGUUGCCCAUUAGGGGCUUGCCCAUUGAUUAUAGCUCGAUGGUAAUGAAAAUACUUUUAAUAUUAUAUAUAUAAAAUCUCUGCUCUCUUAGCUAGAAGAGGGAAAUACUCAAUUGAAUAUGAAGUCCCAAUAAGGAGAAUAUUGUAACUUACAAAACUAGAAAGAUAUACGUAACUUAUGAGACUAGCAAAAUAUACGUAAAUUUUGGGAUAUGAAUUUUUCUUUAUGCCUCAUUAGCAAACUUGUGUAAUGACGAGAUCAUGUAAAAUGGAAUAAAGGCUUAACCUUGACAUACCUGGAGUAGGGAAAAAUCCGUAUGAUGUUUUUGGAAAAGGUUACAUCGUACUCCCUUAGAACUGCAAAAUUUUACGUUGCUAAAUCUUGUUGGAAUCGUUGAAACUUGUAGGAAUCAUGUUGCUUAAUGAAAGAUGUAGGAUCUGGUUUCAAAGUCUUUGAUAAUGAAAUUUGAAAGAGUUUUAAGAAUGACUAAUGUUUUUGUCUUGGUAUUGAAACUUUGGAAAUGAAAUUUGCAAGGUUUAUUUUGAAAGUUUUAAAGUAAGAGGUGUCUUGUAACUAAGGCAUUAAGAUGCCACUUAAUAUCCAAGUUANNNNNNNNNNNNNNNNNNNNNNNNNNNNNNNNNNNNNNNNNNNNNNNNNNNNNNNNNNNNNNNNNNNNNNNNNNNNNNNNNNNNNNNNNNNNNNNNNNNNNNNNNNNNNNNNNNNNNNNNNNNNNNNNNNNNNNNNNNNNNNNNNNNNNNNNNNNNNNNNNNNNNNNNNNNNNNNNNNNNNNNNNNNNNNNNNNNNNNNNNNNNNNNNNNNNNNNNNNNNNNNNNNNNNNNNNNNNNNNNNNNNNNNNNNNNNNNNNNNNNNNNNNNNNNNNNNNNNNNNNNNNNNNNNNNNNNNNNNNNNNNNNNNNNNNNNNNNNNNNNNNNNNNNNNNNNNNNNNNNNNNNNNNNNNNNNNNNNNNNNNNNNNNNNNNNNNNNNNNNNNNNNNNNNNNNNNNNNNNNNNNNNNNNNNNNNNNNNNNNNNNNNNNNNNNNNNNNNNNNNNNNNNNNNNNNNNNNNNNNNNNNNNNNNNNNNNNNNNNNNNNNNNNNNNNNNNNNNNNNNNNNNNNNNNNNNNNNNNNNNNNNNNNNNNNNNNNNNNNNNNNNNNNNNNNNNNNNNNNNNNNNNNNNNNNNNNNNNNNNNNNNNNNNNNNNNNNNNNNNNNNNNNNNNNNNNNNNNNNNNNNNNNNNNNNNNNNNNNNNNNNNNNNNNNNNNNNNNNNNNNNNNNNNNNNNNNNNNNNNNNNNNNNNNNNNNNNNNNNNNNNNNNNNNNNNNNNNNNNNNNNNNNNNNNNNNNNNNNNNNNNNNNNNNNNNNNNNNNNNNNNNNNNNNNNNNNNNNNNNNNNNNNNNNNNNNNNNNNNNNNNNNNNNNNNNNNNNNNNNNNNNNNNNNNNNNNNNNNNNNNNNNNNNNNNNNNNNNNNNNNNNNNNNNNNNNNNNNNNNNNNNNNNNNNNNNNNNNNNNNNNNNNNNNNNNNNNNNNNNNNNNNNNNNNNNNNNNNNNNNNNNNNNNNNNNNNNNNNNNNNNNNNNNNNNNNNNNNNNNNNNNNNNNNNNNNNNNNNNNNNNNNNNNNNNNNNNNNNNNNNNNNNNNNNNNNNNNNNNNNNNNNNNNNNNNNNNNNNNNNNNNNNNNNNNNNNNNNNNNNNNNNNNNNNNNNNNNNNNNNNNNNNNNNNNNNNNNNNNNNNNNNNNNNNNNNNNNNNNNNNNNNNNNNNNNNNNNNNNNNNNNNNNNNNNNNNNNNNNNNNNNNNNNNNNNNNNNNNNNNNNNNNNNNNNNNNNNNNNNNNNNNNNNNNNNNNNNNNNNNNNNNNNNNNNNNNNNNNNNNNNNNNNNNNNNNNNNNNNNNNNNNNNNNNNNNNNNNNNNNNNNNNNNNNNNNNNNNNNNNNNNNNNNNNNNNNNNNNNNNNNNNNNNNNNNNNNNNNNNNNNNNNNNNNNNNNNNNNNNNNNNNNNNNNNNNNNNNNNNNNNNNNNNNNNNNNNNNNNNNNNNNNNNNNNNNNNNNNNNNNNNNNNNNNNNNNNNNNNNNNNNNNNNNNNNNNNNNNNNNNNNNNNNNNNNNNNNNNNNNNNNNNNNNNNNNNNNNNNNNNNNNNNNNNNNNNNNNNNNNNNNNNNNNNNNNNNNNNNNNNNNNNNNNNNNNNNNNNNNNNNNNNNNNNNNNNNNNNNNNNNNNNNNNNNNNNNNNNNNNNNNNNNNNNNNNNNNNNNNNNNNNNNNNNNNNNNNNNNNNNNNNNNNNNNNNNNNNNNNNNNNNNNNNNNNNNNNNNNNNNNNNNNNNNNNNNNNNNNNNNNNNNNNNNNNNNNNNNNNNNNNNNNNNNNNNNNNNNNNNNNNNNNNNNNNNNNNNNNNNNNNNNNNNNNNNNNNNNNNNNNNNNNNNNNNNNNNNNNNNNNNNNNNNNNNNNNNNNNNAUCUCUUGAUUUAACUUAUUAUUUAUGGUCCUAUUUAAACCAAAUCAUUCCAUAGUUAGCCAAAUUGGCACAUUUUGGCUAAAAUUGCAAUAACUUUGCAAUUAUAGCCCAAUCAUUGGAUUUUAUACUAUUUUUGACCAGAAAUUAAUCAUUUGUAUUCUUAAAUACUAAGUAUUCAUUUUUAAUUAUUUUCUAUGCAUAAAAUUUAUUUUGUACAAUUAUCAGCAAUUUUUAUAAAUUAUUUUAUUCAAUUUAAUUGGGUAUUUAACAAAUAACCCCAUUUUAUUUCAAUUAUGACCUAAUUAACCAGCCCCAAAACCCCAAUCAAAUCAGCUCAAGACCCAGGCCCAAACCUAAUCCUACCCGACCCAAUUCUGUCCAAAUCCUGGCCGUUGAUCAUUUCUGAUCAAUGGUUCAGAUUAAUUCCUUCCUUAAUUAACCUAAAAGACAAUCCCCCCAAACCCUUAUUUCUCUCAUUUCCUCUCUUUCACUCCGCCGUUACACUCUCUCAUUCUCUCUCAAGCCCUCUGCUCUACUCGCCGGCCGUUGGCUCGCCGGUAUCAAUGGUGGUUCCACCACCACCCCUAGCCUCCAUGGCUCCCUCACAUGCCAGAUCCUUGCUACCUUGAGUCCCUCAAAGGAACCAAAAGGCGGUUCACUCACCUCCCAUGGUUUCUAUGACAUUCCAUGGCCGUCCGAGUAAGAUUCUACCGUCUUCGGCUAGAACCUAUGGUUUCUAGGUCGGUUCUCUUUCUUUCUGGGAUGUCUCUAUGAAACCCCAACUACUAGCUCCUGAUUUCUUAGAUCUGUAACAUAUCUGAGUAUAUUUUGAGUGAUCUUUACUGUUUUCUUGAUAAUCUUUCCAAUUUUUCAAAAACAUCUCUUCAUCUUCAAAACUAGGGUAUCUUAACCCCUUUACAAAAUGACUUCUCCUCUGAUUUUCAAUAUUAUUCUAUGAUUUCUACUAUGUUUAAACGAUUUAUUUAAGUUUUCCUUUUAUCCGAUUCAUUAUGUUGAAAACCCUAAUUUCUUAGUUCUAAUCCUGGGUUUUUGAGUUUGUUUUUGAUAAUAUGAUUCAACUAAUCUGUAUGUUUCUCAUGAACACUCUGUGAUUCUUAGAUCUUAACCCUAUUUUUUCUUGUUAGGUUUUUUGACUUCGACUAUUUCUGCCUAUUAUGUGUUUAUUUCCAGAAAAUUUGUGGCUAUUUCCUCUCAUCAGUACCAUCAUUUACUUUGAACCCCGGAUAUAUGUGAUUCUUUUACCCUAUUCUUAUUUGUGUUAUGUUUGCUUCGUUUAAUUGUUAUACUUUCCUUUGGCCAGUGUUACCUUCUAAUGGAAUCCCUAAUUCCCUGUGAUUGGUAUACUUUAUUCCCUUCUGAUUUCAAUCUAAAUAUUUUCUUGCCUUAUUUUGUGGUUGAUUAUGCUGUCAAAUUGAUUCUUAGACAUUCUCCUUAAUUAGAAUUUGUCGAACCUAGCCUCUAUUACCUGCUUUAUACUAUGCUUAUUUCCUUAUGUGUCAUGUUUAGUCUCACAUUGAUUCUUUCCUUAUUUGUUAUUUGUUUGCACCGUUUGAAGUUAACUCCCUUAAUUAAGGGAGUACUUAUACUGAUUUUUAUAUUAAUUGAUAUCUAAUUCCAUAAUUACUGCUUGACUUUGAUUCUUAGUUUAUUAUUCUACCUAGUUUCAAACUAUAUAUAUGCUCUCUCAUUAACACACACAAACACGAUAACGUUGGUUCAAAACUCUCUCUCUAACACUCAAAGCCUUCUGCCCUCUUUUGUGAUUACUUACUAUUGUUCUAAGUUAGCUGGCUGUAAGCCAAGGCUAACUAUUGUGCUCUCCUAUUCUUCACUUUUUGUUUGCUGUCACUUUACUGGUAUGUCCUGAUUUCAAUUCAAGUUCCAAAACCAAUAUGUUUCAUUUACUCCUUCAGCUUAUCAUGUUUCUAAUUUGUUGCUAUCUAUGGUUCUGUUGUUCAAUGUGUAAUUGACAUGCUUUCAUUAUGGCUACAUCUGGCAUGCUAGUUCUACUCCCCUGGUAGUCUGUUUCAAUAUGACCCUAUCCUGCUUUGAAUACUUGUCUACUUGUUGUCGAGUUUUGACAUUCACUUACUUUGCAAACUGAACUGUCACUAUCAUUGUUUCUAAAAUCCAUACUGUUUUGAUAUCACUAGCUAUUCUCUAAUCCCAUAUAUCCUCACAAGGAUUGCUAUACUCUUGUAACUAUGUGUUUACCUACAUGACCUAUGAGUCCCCAAAACCCUUGACCCCUGUUUGUGGUUGUUGAACCUGCCUUGGUUCUAUGAUCUUUGGCUGUGUAUGAACCUGUUUUGGGGGUGAUGUGUUUGGAUUGUUGUUUGCUACUCCACUCUCUUUUCAAAACUGUCACUGUUGUCUUUUACAAAACUAUUUCAAACAAGUCCUUUUUCAAACUGUUUCCCUGCUUAAAUCCUUUCAAGCACUCUCACAUCUUCUCUUAGGUUUUAAGUUAUGCCCCUCUAAUGUGCGACUGCAUAGGGAUCCCUAUGAGAUCCCUCUGAACUCUGAUACAUUAGAGCUGGCCCUUCCACACUGCACUUACUCAACUAUGGCUACGAAAUAUGGGUGUGACCACUGCUCGGGAUCCCUUGAGGUCCUUAGGGAACUCUGACACAACCAGAUUAUAUGAAAGGCUAUGAGGCAAUCUGGCAUUGAAAAUUUUGGAAAUCUGGCCUAUUGAUAGGCUCCCUAUAAAGUAACUUUUUAUUUUUCUUAUCUACCUAUUUAAUUCAUUCGAUAUUGGCCUGUAAUAAUUUGUAAACGAACAUUGGGGUUGGACAGUGAAAAUGGGAGGGUAGCUAUACAUGUUAUCAAUAUCAAUGGGUAGAAAACAUGCUUUAGGUUUAUAUUCUCUUGUAUCUGCAUUAGAACUCAUGUUUAGGACCAAUACAUGCAAAAGCAUAUCAUGUAUUAGAAACCAUGCUCCUAGGUUCCAUGUCUACUGCUUUCAGCAUCUCACUUUGACAUCUCUAUUAUCACUUAGAAAUCAUGUUUCUAGGAUAAACGACAUUAAAGAUAAACUGUCACCUAUGCAUUUUGAAAUCAUGUUGUAACCUGUUGUGCAUUUAGAAAUCCUACUUUAGGAAUUCUGCAUAUAAACCAUUAUGAACUUUGUACAUGCAUCUUAGAUACCAUGCUUUAGGAUCUCAUUCGUACUUAUUCAGUCACACCUAGUGUAAACCACUGAUUAUGGAAGAUGUAAAAACAGCUUCACAUUUGAUUAUCGUAUUUAAAACAAACUUGUAAUAAUCCCUGCAUUUUAUAACACUUAAAAUAGUAUGCUUUUAGGUAAAAUAACUCCUUCAUUGUUCUAAUAGUUCUGGUAAUAAUUGUGCAUUAUCCUAUGCCUAGGCAAGCCUUAGGUAAUCCAAUUUCUUAUAAAAUUGUAAACUGCCCCUUUGUGUGUACUGCUUAAUGAUUAACAGGCUUAGAAUCAGUAGGCAAAUUGAUUAGGGCCCCUGCUUAUGAGUUAUAAAAUGGGCCUGCAUAUCUACUGUGUUUUGAUACUCACCUAGACAUCAUGUCAUAGGAGACUGUUGCCCUUAUCUGUGUUUGAGUCGUGCUGUUUACGUGCCUUAUCUAUGGAGGUAAACCGAGACUUUUAUUUGCUCCUUCUUGUUCUUAUUUGCUAAGAGUCCUACGUAUUAUUGCUUAUCGCCUUAGUAUUUUUCCUUUAAAGCUUAGGGGUCAGUCUAGAACUGCCUAUAGGUAGAGGCCCUAAUUCCCUCCAGGACCAUUAAGAAGGGACAGGUAACAGCACAUAUAGGGUUGUUAAACAACACUCGCUUUAGUUACCACUAAGGGAUGGGUAAUGGGUAGAUAUGGAUAUGAUGACUAUGCGCUAAUGUCACAUGUAGCCCCACAAUGAGGAGUGUUUAUCGAACAUUGUGUGGGGUGAUCCUGUAGGCUAACCAACCUAGGACCCCUCCUUUCCCAAAUCCCUUCUGUUUAAAACUUUGUUUUAUAUACAACUUGUUCACAACCUUUGUCUUAUUAUUUGAGUUACACAACGUCCAACGUGCUUUACCUGCAAAUUAUUUGAUUCAACUAUUUAUUUGCUAAUGGACUAAUUCAUGAAUAUAAGUUCGGCCUAGACCCACGGUUGUGGACCAAGAGGGGUGCCUAACACCUUCCCCUCGAGGUCAUUUCGAGCCCUUACCCUAAUAUCUGGUAUGCAAACUAGUUUAAGAGUUGAUUGCUCUAGGUGCCCUAACACACCAUAAUCCGUUAGGUAGCAACUCUUCAAAUACCCAAUUCCCUAAAGGAAAUGAGUUAUUGCCCCCAUGAAUGUCGAAACCCGGACUCUCUCCGUGGAGGGAAAAAAGGGGUGCGACAACAUGGCGACUCUGCUGGGGAUGCCUUUAGGCUCUUACCAUAACGAACUUAUCUUUUUACAAAUUAGUCCAAACAUGCUUUAUCCUGUACCCUUCUCCCUUAUUUGAAUUUAACUGUCCAUUUUUAAGCGUUUAUGGUUCUUUAUCCCUGAAACUGACUUGUCUCUUUGUUUUCUUUUUCCCUGUAACUGUCUUUCAAUUAUUUAAAUAUUGUUUUUAUUUUUUCCUACAUACAAAUACUUGACUACAUGUUAUUAAUUGCUGCAUNNNNNNNNNNNNNNNNNNNNNNNNNGUGCCUUCCCUCUCGAGUUGUCCCCUUGAGGGUACCAGUCUAAAACCCCCAUAGAAACCUUACUCUGAUUGAAAUUGUGCAUGCAUCAUGGUCAAACCUAGUCGGAUCAGUUAUGUUAUCCACAUAAUGAUCCUUUAAGAUAAGCCUUAUCCAAAAGUCCAUCGGAUUUUCCAUAAUCUCAACAGACACAACCACGUUCUGUGCAUUAAUUUGUUGAACUAAAUGCCGAUAUAUUGAUCAUAAGUGUAUAAAUAGUCGAGUCUUGUCAGGGGUAAGGCCUAACCUUUUGUUUUGCAGAAAAUGAGGAACGAGGUCCCAGCUUCGGUAUGGUUAGCACACCCUCACUCUUGCUAGACUGGUGGAGGAAUCUUCCAUCAGAUGACAAAAUCAAUGGAUGAAAAGAGAUGGCCGCCAAAUCCAGCGAGAAGCUGGAAUAUCUGGAAUACAGCCUGUUGGAAUUGGAAGGAAAAGUGAGGAAGAGAGUCACCAACAGCCAGAACGCUGAGGGAAAUGAAGGAGGGCAUUUGGCAAAGGCGUUCUUACUGAUGAAUCUGCAAAAACUGGAGGACUUGAUCAACGAGAGCAUUCAACCUGAGGAAGGUCCUUCCGAGACCAAAUAGAUUAGGUUUACUUGCUUUCCAAAUGUAAUAAGGCUAAGUGUCAGUAGUGACUUAUUAUUAUUAUCUUAGUGUCGUUUUGGGAUUCGUCUAUUUUUAUAUUAUGAAAUAAAACAUUUAUUGGCAUUAAAAGUUCUCCAAGUUUAUUUGUUGCUAGGCCUACCUCGGGCACAACGAGGUUCCCAAAGUAGGACACGAAUUUACUUUUCCGCAACAUGUGUUUAAAUACUACAAACUUUUCUGUAUCCUCACUAACGUUUUACCUUUUUUUUUUGUUUUUUUCCUUAUUUUUAUUAUUCCUAUCCCCUUAGGUUGGUUCACUCAUACUGGCCUCAUCAGCAUAUCACACUAGAUCUAUAGGCCCUCCACCUCCUCCUCCUCUAAGCAACACAAAAGAUAGAGGAAAAGCAAAGAUGGACGACUUAAGAGGGAUCCGAAAGGAGAAUAUUGAGAACGCAGAGACUUCAGAUGGCCGUAGUACUCCGGACCCAAAUGAUCUAAUCUUGAGACUAGAACAAAAGAUACUGGAAUUGCAAGGAGAACUUGAGCAGGUUCGCAACUUGGAAAACUUGUCACUCACCCUCAAUGUCCCCGAUAUCCACCAACAAAACACAAAGAACCCGACACCUCCUCAGAACACACAAAACCAACACCCACAAAAUCCUCCCACACCAAAUCAAUAUGCAACGCCACCCUAGAAUCCACUGCCAAUACCAACUCCACCGCAAUAUCAUCAUCAACCAAUUCAGUACCCACCAACCACCACUUACCACACUCCCCAUAACACACCACAAACCAUUCCAGAUCCACAAAACUCCACCAAUGAUCAUCACUACACCCAAGUUCCUGGCACCCAUCAAAGCAGCCCUAUUUGUGGAAACUAUACCUCAUUUUACCCAACCAAUCUCCUGUAAACCGAAAUCUUCCGAGAAGGACUUGCUCAUUAAAAACAUGGUUGAAGAACUCAAGAAGUUAACAAGCUGAGUUCAAGGUGUUGAGUGCGACAGAGGAAUAGAAGGUUUGAACUAUGAAGAUCUGUGCAUACAGCCGGAUGUCGAACUGCCAGAGGGAUACAAACCUCCCAAGUUUGAAAUGUUCGAUGGUACAGGUGAUCUCAGGGCUCAUCUAAGGACCUAUUGUGACAAGCUUGUCGGGGUCGGGAAAGAUGAGAAGAUCCGAAUGAAGCUCUUUAUGAGGAGCCUUACUAGGGUUGCUUUGUCUUGGUAUAUUAGCCAAAAUCACAACAAAUGGUCCAAUUGGGUAAGCAUGGCGUUGGAUUUCAUGGACCAGUUCAGGUUUAACACAGAGAAUGCACCGGAUGUCUUCUACAUUCAGAAUCUUAAGAAGAAACCUACUAAGACUUUCCGUGAAUACGCUACUCGGUGGAGGUCGGAAGUGGCCAAGGUCAGGCCCUCUUUGGACGAAGAACAGAUGAAUAAAUUCUUUGUUAGGUCACAGGAUCCAAAAUACUAUGAGAGGUUGAUGGUUAUCAAAAAUCACAAAUUCUUUGACAUCAUCAAACUCGGAGAAAGAAUCGAAGAAGGAAUCAAGAGCGGGAUGGUAACAAACUUUGAGGCACUGCAAGCCACGAAUAAGGCACCAGUAAUGGUGGCCCAAGGCCCAAAAUCUCCACUUACCUAUCAAACACCUCCACCCACAAAUCAGACACCUCCACCCACAUAUCAAACACCUCCACCACAUACCAAGCAUCACCGCCUACAUAUCAACCUUCAUCUCCCGGAUAUUCCCAACCAGCCACUGUCCAUCACACCUAUAAUUCCCAACCAUCCCACUUCCAAUCACCACCAUCUCGCAAAAAUUAUCCAAGACCAAGACCCAACUUCGACCGUAAGCCACCCAGAUAAUACACCGCCAUUACCGAGCCCAUCGACCAACUAUAUGAAAGGUUGAAAGCCGCAGAUUACAUCACUCUUGUUCCUGUUGUGGCAUUAGAAAAUCCAUCACAAUAGGUCAAUCCGAACAAAACUUAUACGUACCAUUCCGGUAUGAAAGGGAACAUCACUACUGAGUGCCGAACAUUGAAGGAUAAGAUCCAGGCACUAAUUGACAACAAGGUCAGACAAGCAAAGGAAGCCGCACCUAAUGUCCGCAACAAUCCCCUCCCUGAUCACAGAAGUAAUGGUGUAUAUGUGAUAGAGACAAAUGAAGAAUGGGACCUUGAGGGGUCGAUUGGGCUUAUUAGAUAAGGUAAUGACUUUAAAGUUGCAGUCACACUGACUCCUAUUGUGGUACAGACUCAGUCCCCACUCGAGUUUGAGAUAACCGCAUCAGUUCCAUUCGAGGUGGAAGUAGCUCCACCCGCAGCCACCUCCGCUCAAUUUGAAGUAGAAAUGGUCACACAUUUUACUGUGAUAGUAUCAACCGCACCCUCAUUCAACUCAAAAGCAAUACCCUGGGAUUAUGUUGCCGAGGCUCAGCGAAAAGGGAAGGCCAAGAUAGAGGAAUAUGACGCUGCACAAGGAAAGACUAGAACCGGAAGAGUCUAUACAACUGAACACCUGGGAGGUUCAAGUAAGGAGGCUACUACUAAGCUGCCUAUCAUUGAGACCGGGCCAGAUGACCUGUGGAGGAAAGUACAGGCAAAGGAAUACUCUGUUGUUGACCAUCUGAACAAAGUCCCUGCUCAGAUAUCUAUCCGGUCACUGUUGCAGAAUUCAGAGGUACACAAGAAUGCUCUAAUGAAGGUGCAGCGAGGCUUAGGUACCCAACAACAUCACUGGCGGAGAAAUGGCCAAUGUGGUUGGGCAAGUACUAGAAAGUCAUAAGAUCAUCUUUCACGAAGAUGAGCUACCACCUGAGGGGCUGAAUCACAAUCGACAUUGCAUAUUACGGUGCUAUUUGAAGAUAAGUUCAUUGCCAGGGUCUUGGUUGAUGGAGGUUCAAGACUAAAUAUUUGUCCAUUGGACACUCUAAAAAGGUUGGACAAAGGUUUCCAUGAAAUACGGGCAGGAAGCAUGAACAUGAAAGAUUUUGAUGGGCCCCAGAGGGCCACGAUCGGGGAAAUCAAUCUUUGCUUACAGAUGAGGCCAACUUGGUUCGACGUCGAAUUUUAGGUACUCGACAUACCAGCCUCAUAUAACCUUCUGUUGGGCCGACCGUGGAUCCAUACCACUGGAGCCGUGCCUUCCACACUACAUCAAGCCGUGAAGUUUGAAUAGAACCGCUAGGAGGUAAUCAUUUACGGAGAUGGAAGUAACCCCAUUUAUACUAGGCAAACCAUCCCGGCCAUUGGACAUAGAAGGAGGCUAGGAGGGGAGACCUAUCAUCAUAUUGAACGGGUCAACGCCCUCGAGAAGGAUAAGUGGUGGAGUAAUGAAAUAGAAAGCAUACUAGCAUGGUCUAGAUAUGAACCCGACAAAGGGUUGGGAAAGAACCUCCAAAAACCAAUACAGCUGAAAAACCAUGGUACCACCUUUGGGCUCGGAUACCAGUAUACAUGGCAAGAGUACAAUGAUUGGUUGCCUCCAUGGCGUGGAUCGUAUUACCCUCUUGAGCAGCCAGUGCCAUAUUUGGAACAAGAUUUUCACCAGGCUGAUACAAUAUGGGGGACUACAGAAGAAGAAGCACUAGCUAGGUUGAAGAAUUUGUUCUUGGAGGAUGAGGACAUGGAUUGCGGUGCCAUAAUUGAAGAGGAGGAGGAAGAAGGCCUCACUAUUCAGACUGUAGAGAAGGGAGUUGUUCUCAGGAACUAGACCGCCACACCAUCCCGAGCCUGCCGAGUCCCUGGGUAGCCUGGUAGAUUUUACUUCUAUAGUCGUUCUAGGCAUUUAAGACUUCUAGUAAUUUUGUUUUAAGAUUUACUUGUUUCAAAAUAAAUGCUCGAUUCAUCGAGCCAAACUUUGUCUGAACAAUUUUCUCAGUUUUAAUCAAAUGCAUCUGUUCUUUAUCAUUAUUCAUUACUAUUUCUAUACUUUUUCCUUCUAUAGUGUUAUUAUUACUUUUCCUGAUGAACCAGUGAUUGUGACAUAUAACGAGACAACGCAACAUGAGAAUAGUGAUUCAGAUGAGGAAGACGAGAUACCUGAAGAAAUUGUCAGGGAAGUCGAGAAUUUUGAGAACAAGCCUAAGUCCAACUUGGACGAAACAGAAGCAGUAAAUUUGGGAUACGCCGAGACGGUCAAGGAGACUUGUAUCAGCAUUCACUUGUCACCAACAGAGAAGGAAGCGUACGUCCAUUUUCUAAAAGAGUAUGAUGACAUUUUUGCAUAGUCAUAUGAUUACAUGACCGGUUUGAGCACAUCUAUAGUGGCUCAAAAGUUGUCUACUAAUCCCAUGUGUCCGCUAGUCAAGCAAAAACUCAGAAAAUUCAAACCAGACAUGAGUUUGAAAAUCAAGGAAGAAGUUACCAAGCAGAUCACAGCCAAAGUUCUCAGGGUGGUUGAGUACCCAACCUAGUUAGCUAACAUUGUGCCAGUUCCGAAAAAGGAUGGGAAGGUCAGAGUAUGUGUUGACUACCGAGAUUUAAACAAAGCAAGUCCCAAGGAUGAUUUCCUACUGCCGAAUAUACAUAUCCUGAUCGAUAACUGCGGCAAGCAUGAACUCCAAUCUUUUGUCGAUUGCUUCGCGGGUUAUCACCAGAUUUGGAUGGAUGAAGAAGAUGCAGAGAAGACAACUUUAUUACACCAUGGGGUGUAUACUAUUACAAGAUGAUGCAAUUCGGUCUGAAGAAUGCUGGGGCCACUUACAUGAGAGCCAUGACAACCAUCUUCCAUGAUAUGAUACACAAAGAAAUAGAUGUGUAUGUGGAUGAUGUCAUUAUCAAAUCCAUGAGGGCCGCAUAUCACAUAGCAGACUUGAGGAAGUUCUUCGACAGGCUAAGGAGGUACAAUUUGAAGCCGAACCCCGCAAAGUGUGCAUUCAGGAUUCUCGCAUGAAAGUUCUUGGGAUUCAUCGUCAGUCGUCGAGGGAUCGAACUGGAUCCGUCUAAAGUCAAAGUUAUUCAAGACUUACCACUACCUAAGAGCAAAAAGGAUGUGAUGAGCUUCUUAGGACGUCUCAACUAUAUCAGUUGCUUUAUAGCACAGUCCACAAUCAUAUGUGAACCCAUCUUCAAGAUGCUAAGAAAGGAUGCUGAAACAAGCUGGACCGAGGAUUGUCAAAAAGCUUUCGACAAAAUCAAGGAGUACCUAUCCACACCGCCAGUUUUGGUCCCGCCAGAACCAGGAUGACCUUUGUUACUCUAUCUGUCCGUAUUAGAUGGAGCCUUCAGAUGUGUUUUGGGACAACAUAAUGAGACAGGAAGAAAGGUGCAAUCCAUAUAUUACUUGAGUAAGAAGUUUACACCUUAUGAAGCACGGUAUUCUCUACUUGAACGCACUUGUUGUGAUUUGACCUGGACAGCCCAGAAAUUGAGGCAUUACUUCUGUGCCUACACUACAUACCUCAUAUCCAAGAUGGACCCUCUAAAGUACAUGUUCCAGAAACCCAUGCCGAUUGGAAAGUUGGACAAAUGGCAGAUAUUGUUGAGUGAGUUCGAUAUCAUCCACGUAACUCAAAAGGCGGUCAAAGGACAAGCAUUGGUAGAUCAUCUUGCUAAAAAUCUCGUGGGAGGAGAAUACGAACCUUUGAAAACAUAUUUUCUGAUGAAGAAGUACCAUUCAUAGGAGAGGACAUUACCGAGGCAUAUAACGGUUGGAGGAUGUUCUUUGACAGAGCCGCAAAUUUCAAAGGAGUGGACAUUGGAGCAAUUUUGGUAUCAGAAACGGGUCAGCAUUAUCUGAUAUCUGCUAAACUCAGAUUUCCCUACACCAACAACAUGGUAAAGUAUGAAGCCUGCACUAGGACUCAACAUGGCAGUUGACACGAACAUUCAGGAGUUGUUAGUGAUCGGUGAUUCAGAUUUGCUCGUGCACCAGGUACAAGAAGCGUGGGCCACCAAGAAUUCCAAGAUAUUGCCAUAUCUGCACCAUGUGCAGGAAUUGAGAAAGAGGUUCACCAAUAUAGAAUUCCAACAUGUGCCCAGAAUUCAGAAUGAUUUUGCUGAUGAAUUGGCUACCUUGUCAUCUAUGAUACAACAUCCAGAUAAGAAUUACAAUGAUCCCAUUCCGGUGAGGAUCCAUAAUAUGCCGAAAUAUUGUGCUCAUGUCGAGGAAGAAGCAGAUGGAAAGCCCUAGUUCCAUGACAUCAAAGAGUACUUAUCAAAAGGAGAAUACCCGGAGCAUGCAAAUCAGACUCAGAAAUGCACACUCCGGAGAUUGUCAAAUCACUUCUUCCACAAUAGAGGGAACUUGUACGGAAGAACUCUUGAUUUGGGUUUACUAAGAUGUGUUAACACGAAGGAUAUGCAUGUUGGGACCUUUGGCCCACAUAUGAAUGGUUUUGUCUUGGCUAAGAAGAUACUCAGGGCCGGUUACUUUUGGAUGACCAUGGAGACGGAUUGCAUCCAGUAUGUCUGCAAAUGCUUUCAAUGUCAAGUGCAUGCCGAUAUGAUAAAAGUGCCGCCAAACGAUCUCAACGCAACAAGCUCACCUUGGCCAUUCGCCGCUUGGGGAAUGGAUGUUAUUGGUCCAAUUAAGCCCACUGCUUCAAACGGGCACAGGUUCAUUCUGGUAGCCAUUGAUUACUUCACAAAUGGGUAGAGGUUGCAUCUUACAAAGCUGUAACCAAGAAAGUCCUCGCAAAUUUUGUCAAGGAUCGUAUUGUUUGCCGUUUUGGAGUUCCCGAAUCAAUUAUUACUAAUAAUGUCGCCAAUCUCAACACUGAUAUAAACCUCAGAUGAAUGGAGACGUAGAAGCCGCCAAUAAAAACAUCAAGAAGAUACUGAGGAAAAUGGUAGAAAACCACAGACAAUGGCAUGAGAAGUUACCUUUUGCUUUAUUUGGAUACCGCAUCAUGGUUUGCACAUCAAUCGGGGCAACUCCCUACAUGUUGGUUUAUGGUACCGAGGCUGUCAUCCCAGUCUAGGUGGAGAUUCCUUCUUUAAGAAUCAUACAGGAAGCUGAACUCAGCGAUGCAGAGUGGAUAAGGAGUCACUAUUAACAAUUGGCCCUUAUCUAUGGAAAGAGGAUGAACGCAGUAUGUCACAGCCAACUUUACCAGAACAGAAUGUCUAGAGCUUUCAACAAAAGAGUCAAACCAAGAUAGUUCGCACCAGGGCAGCUGGUAUUGAAGAAGAUCUUCCCACAUCAAGAUGAAGCCAAAUGAAAAUUCUCGCCCAACUGGCAAGGUCUGUACAUGGUCCAUAGGGUGCUAAUAGGAGGAGCACUCAUACUUGCAGAAAUGGAUGGAGAAAUUUGGCCAAAACCAAUCAAUUCAGACGCAGUCAAGAGAUACUAUGCUUAAAUUACUUUACAUUUUUCUUAUGAUAUAAUUGAACUACACUUGACUUGAUUCCCAUUUAAAAGGGGAUACGUAGGCAGCCUUAUGGGUUCGGUCAUAUCAUAAUAAAAUUUUCAUUUUCCCCCAACCUUAGAAACUGGGGCAGAAUUUUGAGGAGGACCCUCAAAAUUCCGGGGCAAGUCCAGCCAACACCAACAUGUAUCAGACGAUCAGUAACCAGUUAAGAAACUGGGGCAGAAUUUUGAGAAGGAUUCUCAAAAUUCCGGAGAAGGUUCAGCAAGAUCCAUUAUCAGCAAUCGGUCAAAGAUCAUCUACCAAACUGGAGCAUAAUUUUGAGGACCCUCAAAAUUCUGAUAUGAGAGAGUUGUAAUGCCUUCGAGAUGUGUUACAGUCACUAGUUCUUCAAAAAUUACUUGAUAUAUUAAUACGUUUUCAAAAUAACUCUAUUUUUAUCAAUAGUUACAUAUUUUUGAAAACUCUAUUUCCAUAACAGUCAGGUGUCACACAGGGGAACUCAAAAGGCCUUCAGAAUGGAUCAAAGCAAAGUCGACUGAUAGAAAUACGAACCAACCUCCCCCCCCCCCCACAAAACUUACAGUUGUUUUUUGAACGAAGGCACAUCCGACGUAACGAUAACAUCCACGUAGCAAGAUUACUAUCAAUUAGGCCAUCAGACACUGAAUAUAUCUCCAGCUAAAACAUAUACUAUCCUUAUUUGCUAAGUGCUCUUUGCACGAGGCUAAUCCUUGCCUCCAUAACUGCAUGAGGCUAAUCCUUGCCUCCAUAACUACAUGAGGCUAAUCCUUGCCUCCAUAACUGCAUGAGUCUAAUCCCUGCCUCCUUAUUUGCAUGAGUCUAAUCCUUGACUCCAUACCUGCAUGAGGCUAAUCCCUGCCUCUUUAUUUGCAUGAGUAUAAUCCUUGACUCCAUAAUUGCAUGAGGCUAAUUCUUGCCUCCCUAUUUGCAUGAGUCUAAUCCUUCACUCUAUCAACUGCAUGAGNNNNNNNNNNNNNNNNNNNNNNNNNCUAAUCCCUGACUCUAUACUUGCAUGAGGCUAAUCCUUGCCUCCCCGUUUGCACAAGGCUAAUCUCUGCCUCCCCAUUUGCAUGAGUCUAAUCCUUGACUCCAUGAGGCUAAUCCUUGCCUCCAUACUUGCACGAGGAUAAUCCCUACCUCCAUAUCUGCAUGAGGCUAAUCUUUGCCUCCAUAUUUUCAUGAGGCUAAUCCAUGCCUCCAUACUUACAUGAGGCUAAUCCAUGCCUCCACACUCGCAUGAGGCUAAUCCUUGCCUCUAUAUUUGCAUGAGGCUAAUCCCUGCCUCCAUACUUGCAUGAGGCUAAUCCCUACCUCUAUAUUUUCAUGAGGCAAAUCCCUGCCUCCAUUUGCAUGGGACUAAGCAUUGUCCCUCAUUGCAUAAAUAUUGCUUUAUCCCCGUACUAUCUAUUUGCUUUUUGAUCGGGCUAAGCUCUACCCUUCAUUUUACAAGACUAAGCUUUGUCUUUUUAACAUCAUAUCAUUGCAUAUUAUGGGCUGAAAUAUUGCCAAUCUAUCCAAAGGCAUCAUAGUCUAAAAAGCAUCAUCCUCGUAGACGGAAGACACCAUACCAUGGCCUGAAGAUCUCUCAAAUUUGCAUAUCAUUAUUCAAAGGCGUCAUGGUUCGAAGGCACCAUUUUCAUGACCCAAAAACAUCAUUUCAUGGCAUACGAAUCUCUCAUCAAACAAUUCAUGGCUCGGGACAUCAUGGUCUAAGGACGCCAUCCCUAACCGUUCGAAGACAACUUUCAUAGUCCAACGGGAACUUGCAUCAUGUUUAAAUUUAUGCACAGUAUACAUUUGUAUUGCUUCUAUUUGAAGGUAACCCAGCGAGCAACAGCUAUCCCAGCAGGAGUGAUCCCGCUCCAGUUCUCUCAGCCAUAACAAACCUAACCAUUCCCGUAAACCGUUAACUCACCCAGCCCUAGAUGUUACGUCUGUUCUUGAAAUGACUUCAUCAGUAUACUUCGCCGAUGAAUCCGGGACUACAUACGGCCUAAUUCCUGUAAAACUAGGGAUAUGUAGGCAGCUCAGAAGCUAGGGUGCGGCCUAAUCUCUCAAACUAUUUUGCUCGGUCAAAAUUGGUCAUCAUUUCUUUACCCGAAAACUCUUUCAUCCUUCCUGGGUAAAGAGGGGAAACUAUUGAUACCUAAUUCUUUCCAAAAUAUUUUAAAAUUGUAUGUAUACCUUCAAAAUCAUGCAUUAAUAGAAAUUGGUAUUUUUCUAUAAUUUUUCUAUAUUUUUAUUAAUUUAUCCAGCAUUUUAUUCCCAAUAAAUAAUUACAAAAUAGCAUUACAAAUGAUUUUAGAAGCAUCUCUUGAUUUAACUUAUUAUUUAUGGUCCUAUUUAAACCAAAUAAUUCCAUAGUUAUCCAAAUUGGCACCUUUUGGCUAUAAUUGCAAUAACUUUGCAAUUAAGGCCCAAUCAUAGGAUUUUAUACUAUUUUUGACCAGAAAUUAAUCAUUUUUAUUCUUAAAUACUAAGUAAUCAUUUUUAAUUAUUUUCUAUGCAUAAAAUUUAUUUUGUACAAUUAUCAGCUAUUUUUAUAAAUUAUUUUAUUUAAUUUAAUUAGGUAUUUAACAAAUAGCCCCAUUUUAUUUCAAUUAUGACCUAAUUAACCAGCCCCAAAACCCCAAUCAAAUCAGCCCAAGACCCAGGUCAUUGAUCAUUUCUGAUCAAUGGUCCAGAUUAAUUCCUUCCCUAAUUAACCUAAAAGACUACCCCCCCCCCCCCAUUUCUCUCAUUUUCUCUCUUUCACUCCACCGUUACACUCUCUCAUUCUCUCUUAAGCCCUCUGCUAAAUCUAAGCUUCUACUCAUCGGCCGUUGGCUAGCCGGUAUUAAUGGUGGUUCCACCACCACCCCUAGCCUUCAUGGCUCUCCCACAUGCCGGAUCCUUGCCACCUUGAGGCCCUCAAAGGAACCAGAAGGCGGUUCACUCACCUCCCAUGGUUUCUAUGUCAUUCACAGGUCGUCCAUGGCCGUCCUAGUAAGAUUUUACCAUCUCCGGCUAGAACCUGUGGUUUCUAGGCUGGUUCUCUUUCUUUAUGGGUUGUCUCUAUGAAACCCUAACUACUAGCUCCCGAUUUCUUAGAUCUGUAAUAGAUCUGAGUAUAUUUUGAGUGAUCUUUACUGUUUUCUUGAUAAUCUUUCCGACUUUUCAAAAAUAUCUCUUCAUCUUCAAAACUAGCGUUUCUUAACCUCUUUUCAAAAUGACUUUCCUCUGAUUUUCUAUAUUAUUCUAUGAUUUCUACUAUGUUUAAACGGUUUAUUUAAGUUUUCCUUUUAUCUGAUUCAUUAUGUUGAAAACCCUAAUUUCUUAGUUCUAAUCCUAGGUUUCUGAGUUUGUUUUUGAUAAUAUGAUUCAACUAAUCUGUAUGUUUCUCAUGAACACUCCGUGAUUCUGAGAUCUUUACCCUAUGUUUUCUCGUUAGGUUUUUUGACUUUGACUAUUCCUGCCUAUUACGUGUUUAUUCCCAGAAAAUUUGUGGUUAUUUCCUCUCAUCAGUACCAUCAUUUACUUUGAACCCCGAAUUUAUGUGAUUCUUUUACCCUAUUCUUAUUUGCGUUAUGUUUGCUUCGUUCACUUGUGAUACUUUCCUUUGGUCAGUGUUACCUUCUAAUGGAAUCCCUAAUUCCCUAUGAUUGGUAUACUUUAUUCCCUGCUAAUUUCAAUCUAAAUAUUUUCUUGCCUUAUUUUGUGGUUGAUUAUGCUGUCAAAUUGAUUCUUAGACAUUCUCCUUAAUUAGAAUUUGUCAAACUUAGCCUCUAUUACCUGCUCUAUACUAUGCUUAUUUUCUUAUGUGUCAUGUUCAACCUCACAUUGAUUCUUUCCUUAUUUGUUAUUUGUCUGCACUGUUUGAAGUUAACUCCCUUAAUUAAGGGAGUACUUAUACUGAUUUUUAUAUUAAUUGAUACCUAGUUCCAUAAUUACUGCUUGACUUUGAUUCUUACCUUAUUAUUCUACCUAGUUUCAAACUAUAUAUAUGCUCUCUCAUUAACACACAGAGACACGAGCACAUUGGUUCAAAACUCUCUCUCUCUCACUCAAAGCUUUUUGCCCUCUUUUAUGAUUACUUAAUACUGUUUUAAGUUAGCCGGCUGCAAGCCAAGGCUAACUAUUGUGCUCUCCUAUUCUUCACUUUUUGUUUGCUGUCACUUUACUGGUAUGUCCUGAUUUCAAUUUAAGUUCCAACACUAAUAUGUUUCAUUUACUGCUUCAGCUUAUCAUGUUUUUGAUUUGUUUCUAUCUAUGGUUAUGUUGUUCAAUGUGUAAUUGACAUGCUUGCAUUAUGGCUUCAUCUGGCAUGCUAGUUCUACUCCCCUGGUAAUCUGUUUCAAUAUGACCCUAUCCUGCUUUGAAUACUUAUGUACUUGUUGUCCAGUUUUGACAUGCACUUACUUUGCAAACUGAACUAUCACUAUGAUUAUUUCUGAAAUCCAUACUGUGUUGAUAUCACUAGCUAUUCCCUAAUACCAUAAACCCUCACAAGGAUUGCUAUGCUACUGACUGAACUAUCACUAUGUGUUUACCUGCAUGACCUAUGUGUCCCCAAAACCCUUGACACCUGUUUGUGCUUGCUGAACCUGCUUUGGUUCUAUGAUCUCUAGCUGUGUAUGAACCUAUUUUGGGGGUGAUGUGCUUGGACUAUUGUUUGCUACUCCACUCUUUUUUCAAAACUGUCUCUGUUGUCAUUUACAAAACUAUUUCAAACAAGUCCCUUUUUCAAAUUGUUUCCCUGCUUAAAUCCUUUCAAGCACUCUCACAUCUACUCUUAGGUUUUAAGUUCUGCCCCUCUAAUGUGUGACUGCUUAGGGAUCCCUAUGAGAUCCCUCUGAACUCUGAUACAUUAGAGUCGGCCCUUCUACACUGCACUUACUCAAUUAUGGCUAUGAAAUCUGGGUGUGAGCACUGCCCGAGAUCCCUUGAGGUCCUUAAGGAACUCUGACACACCCGGAUUAUAUGAAAGGCUAUGAGGCAAUCUUGCAUUGGAAAUUUUGGAAAUCUGGGCCUAUUGGUAGGCUUCCUAUAGAGUAACUUCUUAUUUUUCUUAUCUACUUAUGUAAUUCAUUCGAUAUUGGCCUGUAAUAAUUUGUAAACGAACAUUUGGGUCGGAUAGUGAAAAUAGGAGGGUAGCUAUACAUGUUAUCAAUAUCAUUGGGUAGAAAACAUGCUUUAGGUUUAUAUUCUCCUGUAUCUGCAUUAGAACUCAUGUUUAGGACCAAUACAUGCAAAAGCAUAUCAUGUAUUAGAAACCAUGCUCCUAGGUUCCAUGUCUACUGCUUUCAGCAUCUCACUUUGACAUCUCUAUUAUCACUUAGAAAUCCCGUUUCUAGGAUAAACGACAUUAAAGAUAAAUUGUCACCUAUAUGUUUUGAAAUCAUGCUGUAACCUGUUGUGCAUUUAGAAAUCUUACUUUAGAAAUUCUGCAUAUAAACCAUUUUGAACUUUGUACAUACAUCUUAGAUACCAUGCUUUAGGAUCUCAUUCGUACUUGUUCAGUCACACCUAGUGUAAACCAUUGAUUAUGAAAUAUUUAAAAACAACUUCACAUUUGAUUAUCCUGUUUAAAAUAAACUAGUAAUAAUCCCUGCAUUUUAUAACACUUAGAACAGUAUGCUUUUAGGUAAAAUAACUCCUUCAUUGUUCUAAUAGUUCUGGUAACAAUUGUGCAUUAUCCUAUGCCUAAGCAAGCCUUAGGUAAUCCAAUUUCUUAUAAAAUUGGAAACUGCCCAUUUGUGUGUACUGCUUAAUGAUUAGCAGGCUUAGAAUCAGUAGGCAAACUGAUUAGGGCCCCUUCUUCUGAGUUAUAAAAUGAACAUGCAUAUCUACUUUGUUCUGAUACUCACCUAGACAUCAUGUCUUAGGAUACUGUUGCCCUUAUCUGUGAUUGAGUCGUGCUAUUUACGUGCCUUAUUUGUGGAGGUAAACCGAGCCUUUUAUUUGCUCCUUCCUAUUCUUAUUUGCUAAGAGUCCUACGUGUUAUUGCUUGUCGCCUUAGUAUUUUUCCUUUAAAACCUUAGGGGUCGGUCUAGAACUGCCUAUAGGUAGAGGCCCUAAUUCCCUCCAGGACCAUUAAGAAGGGACAGGUAACAACACAUAUAGGGUCGUUAAACAACACUCGCUUUAGUUACCACUAAGGGAUGGGUAAUGGGUAGAUAUGGAUAUGAUGAUUAUCCGCUAAUGUCACGUGUAGCCCUUCAAUGAGGAGUGUUUACCGGACAUUGUGUGGGGUGAUCCUGUAGGCUAACCAACCUAGGACCCCCUCCUUUCUUUAAUCCCUUUUGUUUAAAACUUUGUUUUAUAUACAACUUGUUCAAAACCUUUGUCUCAUUAUUUGAGUUACACAACGUCCAGCGUGUUGUACCUGCAAAUUAUUUGAUUCAACUAUUUAUUUAUUAAUGGACUAAUUUGUGAAUAUAAGAUUUGUCGGGGCCCACAGUUGUGGACCAAGAGGGGUGCCUAACACCUUCCCCUCAAGGCCAUUUCGUGCCCUUACCCUAAUCUUUGGUAAUGCAAACUAGUCUAAGAGUUAAUUGCUCUAGGUGCCCUAAUGCACCAUAAUACAUUAGGUGGCGACUCUUCAAAUAUCAAAUUCCCAAAAGCAAAUGAGUUAUUACCCCCCAUGAAUGUUGAAGCCCAGACUCUCUCCGUGGAGGGAAAAAGGGGGCGCGACACCUGCCCGUUCGCAGGUGCGUUGAAUCUCUCGCUCCUGUGGAUCCUGGUCAGCCUUCUCUUGUCAACUUUUGCAGAUCGUGGCGCGCACCAACGAGCUCAUACCUACGGGCGGUCAAGCACAGGUGCAAUUAUACCAGCAGUUGGAGCUUCAGAUGUUGCUCCCAAGUCCCAACUUGGUCUGAGCCAUGUCCGAUUAGCACCUGGGCCCUCGAGGCCCCGCCCGAACAUACCAACAAGUUUGGAAUUAUAAAACGGACUCGCUCGAACUCUCGGAAUUCCCCAAACAACAUCAAAACUAAGAUUCACACCCCCAAACCAAUUGAAUCAAAAAUAUGAACUUUAAGUUCUUCAAUUUACUCCCAAUGCGCCGAAACGUACUUCAACUACUUGGAAUGACACCAAAUUUUGCGUGCAAGUCUUAAAUGACAUUAUGGAACUAUUGUUAGUCUCGAAAUUCUAUUUGGACCUUGAUGUCACCAAAACAUACUUCAAACCAAAUUUAAAGAACUUCAAAGAACCAACUUUCACUAUUAGGCACUGAAAUGCUCCCGGGUCAUCCAAAACCCGAUCCAAACAUACGCCCAACUACAAACCUAUUGGAACCGUCAAAUCCCUAUUCCGAUGUUGUUUGCUCAAAAUGUUGACUGAAGUCAAACUUAUCCUUUUUAGCCAACCUUAAGGAACCAAGUGUUCCGAUUUUAACACGAACCCUUCCAAUUUCUGAACUACUAUCCCCGUAAGUUAUAAAAUAGUAAAAGCACAUACAAGAAGUAUUAUUUAGGGGAAUCAAAAUGACUGAUCGGGUCGUUACGUUCUCCACCUCGUAAACAAAUGUUCAUCCUCGAGCGGGUCUAGAAUUAUACUUGGAGCGCUGAAUAAGUGUGGUUAUUUGCUCCAGAUAUCCUCCUCGGCCUCCCAUAUCACCUCCUCAACUAGUUGUCCCCUCUACUGAACCUUUACCACGGCAAUCCUUUUCGACCUUGUAAGGUCCCAAAAAACUUCACUAUGUAAUUUAAGGUUUUGUGGUGUCAAGGUAGGCUAAUACAUUGUAUUUUCGGAGUUUUGGGUUUAACAAUGUGUUGGGGAGUUGAAAUUUUUCAUCACGGCUAGGCCAGGCGAUAGCUAGGCUGGACUAGGCUUUAAGCUAGCGAGGCCAGGCUAGACCAGGCUUUAGCCAGGCGACGACAUGUCUGUAGCCCGGUCCAAAAUCUUGGACUAUCCAUUCUUCUAUCUUUAUAACUCGACCCAACUUCAUUAAAUACACGUAAUGGGUUAUUUUUGAGCAAAAAUCUGAUUCUUUAGAGUUAGAGAAGGAUCGCUAGAGUGAAAAAAAUGAUCUCCAUUAAAUCAUUCUUCAAUUCAUACACAAAUCUUUGAAUAUUAACAAGGAAAACACACCAUAUCUCUAUCCUUGAGGUCAGAUUCUACACCCAAACCCUUAAUUUUGAACUUUAGCUAAAUAUGGGAAAUUAUAAACAAAUUUUGUGGGUAUUGGAGUUGUUAUCUAGGUUGCAUGUGUUAUCGAUGGGUGUAGCAACAUUGUUGAGCUAAAAUUGUUUAAGGAUGGGUUGAAGGUUGAUGAAAUCCUCCAUAAAGGGACCUUAAAGACUUAAUGCACACCUAGUGUUUGAUGGAAUGCUCAAACGAGCUAAGACUAUGAAUAUCUUCCAAAUUUGUGUUCAAUUUUGUUAUAUCUCGAAAUAGAUUGGGAUUGCUAGGAUUUCCGGAAUGUUAUGGUAGUUUAAGAAAAGGCUCAAGCAAGGUAUGUACGGAUAAAACUCCCUCUUCUUAGAAAUUGACCCCCCCCCCCCCCCCCCCCCCGCUGGUGUCCAUGCAAAUGUUGUAAGUUUCGAAAAUUGAUUGAUGUACUAGUUGCUAUUUCAAAUGAAUUUGUAUUGCAAGAAUAUAUGUGCAAGGUGUGUCUCAAUGCUUUCAUUAUGCUAUUUUGUCAAUUGAGAAUAUGUGAAUAAUGUGGAACAUGUGCUAAAAUGCCUAGACUUCAAGUCGAGUUUGAAUUGAGAUUGUUAUGCCGAAAUAUGUAAAAUCUUCUUUAUGCUUACGAUCGAUAAUUGCUCUCGUAUGUGCUUAUUAUCUUGAAUUGAAAGGUUCAAUAUUGAAAGUGGCAACGAUGUGAAAUAUGGGGGAAGAGAGUUUGAGUUAUGAAAUGUGGCCUAGUGCCAAGUAUGAUCGAUAUGUGUGAUAUAAACUUGAAAUGAGAUAAUUGAUGAAACAUGGGAAUGUCUGGGUGAGAUGGCCUAGCAGAUUGGGCCGUAAUCAGAAACCAUGCCGCACACAUGGAGGUACUAUGCUAAUAUUGAAACUGGAAAGUGACAAUGAAAUUAUGAUUGAGGUACAUGUCUCAAAUGAGACAACCUAGCCAAUCGGGUCGUGAUCGGACUCCGCGUACGAAAGCGGUGGUAUUGUGGAUGAUGAUGUAACAGAAUUAAAAUGUACCAACCUAAGGUUAUGAAAAAUCAUUUGCAAGCUAUGUGAUCCUCAAUUUGAUGUUGUAGUGUUGUUUGAGGCUUAUGUUGAUCCUUAUGAUUAUCUUCUUCUUGUAUUGUUGUUCUUUCUAAUGAGAUGGUGCUUAUUUAUACAUACUAGUACUACUCGACAGUACUAACAUCCCUUUUGCCGGGGCCGCUACAUCUUUGAAUGAAUGUAGGUGGUUCCGUAGCAGACAGUGCCGAUCGCAGAUAGCGGUGCAUCCUCAUCUCAGUAGUCUUGGUGAGCCCCCUUUCUUCUAGGGGUCAUGCAGUAUAUCUUUUGUUAUAAGUUACCACAUUUUGAGGUAUAGUCGGGUCCUUGUUGCCGGCAUUAUCAUAACUAUUUUUUGUAUCUUUAGAGGCUCCGUAGACAUUUGUGUGGGUUAUAUAUGGGUGUUGGAUGGAUCACUGGACUAUGUUGUAAUUGUAAACCCUUGUUCUACUAAACUGUAAACCGUAUGAAAUUUUGGGAAUUUAACUAUGGUAUAAGGAAAUUAGGGUAUGAAGAACUAGCAAUAUUCUAUGUACGGUCUCUCCUAUUGUCUAAUUAAUGAAAGCAUAUUUUCUUGAUCAUAACGAGUUGGGUAGAAAAUGUCCAAAAAGGCUUGCUCAGUCUGGUUCACUCGGUUGGGCGUCGGUCGCACCUCCCGAGGAUGGAGCGUGACAAACUUGGUAUCAAAGCCUAAGGUUUUAAAGUGUCCUAGGAUGUCUCGAAGCCGUGUCUAGUAGAGUCCUUUUUAUAGGUAUGUUGUCGACCGCAUCUAUAAGUUGGAGGCUACUUGGACAUUUAGGAAUAAUACCCUUCUUUGCUUAUUCGUAUCGUGCGAUAGAACUGAAUGUGAGGUUGUUCUCCUAUAACUCGUGCAUUGUUCUAAAUUUCAGUAAAUGGCACCUAAGAAGAAGGCAAGAACUGUCCAAGGGGCCAACGCUGCUCCAAGAGCGGCAGUCGACUUGGUAAUUGAUGAUGCAGGUGUGAACCCAAGGGGUAAGGACAUUCCCCUGACUACUACACUGCCCGGUUCCACCACACCAGUUCCUACAUCUACUGAGGGUGCUACUAUCCCUCCCACUGAUAUUCCUGUUCCUCUUUCAGCCCCAGUUUCCGAUUCUCGUAUUUCUGAUGGGGAUUUUAGGGGAGCUAUCCAGAUGUUGACUUAGCUAGUGGCCUCUCAGGCCCAGAGAUCAAAUGUUGCACCCAGUUCUUCUAGCCAGCAAAGGGAUUCCACCAGUUCUAGGGUGAACAGAUUUCUUCAGCUAGAUCCUCCAGUGUUUAUGGGUGUAAAUCCCGAGGAGGACCCCCAGGAUUUUAUUGAUGAGAUGCACAAAACCCUCAGGGUUAUGUGUGAAACUGAGACAAAGGGAGUAGAGUUGGUUGCCUAUCAUUCGAAAGGGGUGGCCUAUUCGUUGUUUGAGUUGUGGGAAGAUUCUCGUGAGGAAGGGAGCCCUCCGGCAAGGUGGAGUAAGUUUGUCGACGCCUCUAUAGAUCAUUUCCUGCCUGCUGAGACAAGGGCAGCCCGUGCAGUGGAGUUUGAGAGUCUAAAUCAAGGUAGCAGGAGUGUGUGGGAGUACCACAUGGAGUUUCCACGCCUGUCCAAGUAUGCUAUUCACAUGUUGCCCACUAAGGAGGCUAGGGUGUGUGGGUUUGUUCAGGGCCUUAGUUCUUUGACCAUUAAUGAGGCUUCUACAUCUGCCUUGAAUUCUGACAUGAAUUAUGGAAAGAUGGUGGCAUUUUCUCAGGCCACAGAGGACCGCAAAUUGAAGAACAUGAUGGAAUGAGAGGGUAACAGCAAGGUACGGUCUACGGCCAAUUUCGGGGAGUCAUUUGGUGGGGGAAGGUCAUCUUUCAAGGGAGGAUCAUCAGGACCAUCCCUGUCUAUUGCACAAUCUUCAACCAGUGCACCACCAUCAAGGCCCAUCCAGAAGCAGCAAUGGAGUCUUUUCAGGCCCAGUCAAGGCGGUAGGGGACCCCACCAGUAGGGUCGGUUAGGAGGGAGAGCCUAAUAGCAGCAAAGGCCCCCGGGUGCGGGAAGAUGCACUCAAGGAUCUGCUACAUGGAGUUACCCAUAUACUAUGGGUAUGGGAUGAGGGGCCAUAUUCAGAGGCAUUAUCGUGUAUCCUGCCAGGGUCCAGGUAAGGGCACAACAUAGCCAGCCAGCCCAGCAGCUACUACAUCUUCAACACCCUCUCCAGUUCGAGGUAUUUCAGCAUUCGUAGGGCGUGGUACAGCUAGGGGUGGUGCAUAGGGUUCAGGAGGACCCAGUCGAUUCUAUGCUAUGAGUGGUCGCCAGAGUGCAGAGGCUUCUCCAGAUGUUGUUACAGGUAUUCUGACUGUACAAUCUCACGAUGUGUAUGCUCUUUUAUUGAUCCUGGUUCCACCUUGUCCUAUGUUACCCCUUAUAUUUCUAUGGAAUUUGGAACAGAGCUGGAACAGCUUUAUGAGCCAUUCUUGGUAUGUACUCCGGUUGGUGAGUCUAUUACGGUCGUGUGAGUUUAUAGCUAUUGUGUUGUUACAGUAUAUGGUCGGGAUACCAUGGCUGAUCUCAUUGAAUUGGGGAUGGUUGAUUUUGAUGUAAUAAUAGGGAUGGAUUGGAUUUAUUCAUGUUUUGCCAAACUUGAUUGUCGGACUAGAACUAUGAGGCUUGAAUUCCUAAUGAGCCAGUUGUUGAAUGGAAGGGAGAUAAUGUAGUACCGAAGGGUCGAUUUAUUUCUUACCUUAAGACCACUAAGAUGAUCAAGAAGGGGUGUAUCUAUCAUUUAGUCCAGGUUACGGACACCGAAGUCGAGGCACAUAGCCUUGAGUCAGUGCCAGUUGUGAAUGAAUUUUUGGACGUCUUUCCAGAUGAGCUCCCUGGGAUCCCACUAGACAUAGAGAUUGACUUUGGGAUCAAUGUAAUGCCAGACACGCAGCCUACAUUAAUUCCACCUUAUAUAAUGGCACCGACAGAAUUGAAGGAAUUGAAGGAACGAUUAAAGGAUUUGUUAAAGAAAGGUUUCAUCCGGCCGAGUGUGUUGUCGUGGGGCACACUGAUUUUGUUUGUACGGAAUAAAGAUGGGUCGCUACGGAUGUGUAUCAACUACCGACAACUCAACAAAGUCACAAUCAAAAAUAAGUACCCUCUACCAAGGAUAGAUGAUUUGUUUGAUAAAUUGUAAGGUGCUAAGUGCUUCUUAAAAAUUGACUUACGGUCCGGGUAUCAUCAAUUGAAGAUAAGGGAGCAGGAUAUUCCAAAAACAACCUUUAGAACAUGGUAUAGGCACUUUGAAUUUCUGGUGAUGUCUUUCGGGCUAACAAAUGCCCCGGCAGCUUUUAUGGAUCUUAUGAAUCGAGUCUUUAAGCCUUUUCUAGACUCCUUUGUGAUAGUGUUUAUUGACGAUAUUCUUGUGUAUUCCCGAAGUCAAGAAGACCAUGCUGGCCAUCUUAGGGUAGAUCUACAAACUCUUCAAUAGCACCAGUUGUAUGCAAAGUUUUCGAAAUGUGAAUUUUGGCUUGAAUAUGUCACGUUCUUGGGUGAUAUCAUCUCCAGGGAAAGAAUUAUGGUUGAUCCUCAAAAGGUUUCGGCGAUGAUGAAUUGGCUAGACCUACUAGUCCAACAGAGAUUCGCACUUUCUUGGGUUUGGCGGAUAUUAUAGGAGGUUUGUAGAGGGAUUUUCUACUCUUACCUCUCCAUUAACUAAAUUGACACAAAAAGCGGUUAAGUUCUAGUGGUCCGAUGCUGGUGAAAGGAGCUUCCAAUAAUUGAAAUCAAGAUUGACUACAGUGCCGGUAUUGACCCUGCCAGAGGGUACAUAUGGGUUUGUGGUAUAUUGAGAUGCUUUAAGGAUUGGGCUUGGGUGUGUGUUAAUGCAACACGGGUAGGUUAUAGCUUACGCUUCUAGGCAACUCAAGAAUCAUGAAAAGAACUAUCUCACCCAUGACUUAGAGCUUGCAACGGUGGUAUUUGCACUAAAUAUUUGACGACAUUAUUUGUAUAGGGUCCAUGUGGAUGUAUUUACGGAUCACAAGAGCCUUCAAUAUAUUUUCGAAACAAAAGGAGUUGAAUCUGAGGAAGAGAAGAUGGCUUGAGUUACUCAAGGAUUAUGAUAUCGAUAUUCUCUAUUACCCGUGAAAAGCCAAUAUUGUGGCAGAUGCUCUUAGUUGGAAAUAUAUGGGAAAUUUGGCCCACUUGGAGGCGUAUCAAAGGUCGUUGGCUAGAGAGGUUCACCAGUUCUCUAGUUUGGGAGUUUGUCUUGCGGACUCUAAUGAAGGAGGAGUAAUUGUGCAGAAUAGAGUUGAAUCAUCACUUGUGGCGGAAGUGAAGGAGAAACAAUACAACGAUCCAUUGUUGAUACAAUUGAAGGAAGGGAUUCAUAAACAUAAAACUAUAGUUGUUUCUCUUGACAUGGAAGAUGGUACACUACGGUACCAGGGCGUCUAUGUGUUCCAGAUGUAGAUGGUCUCUGGGAGAGAAUAAUGACCGAGGCUCACACUUCUAGAUAUUUCGUGCACCCAGGUUCUAUAAAGAUGUAUUAUGAUCUUAAGGAAGUGUAUUGGUGGAAUGACAUGAAGAGGAGUGUAGCGGACUUUGUGGCAAAAUGUCCAAACUGUCAGCAAGUGAAGGUCGAACACCAAAGGCCCGGUGGAUUGGCACAGAACAUAGAAAUUCCAAUGUGGAAGUGGGAAAUGAUUAAUAUGGACUUUGUGGUAGGACUAUGCGCACUCCGUGCAAGUUCGACUCAAUUUGGGUAAUCGUGGAUCGACUCACGAAAUCAGCGCACUUCUUGCCAGUCAAAUCUACUAACACAAUGGAACAAUAUGCUCAGUUGUAUAUCAAAGAAAUAGUCAGGUUGCAUGGUGUUGACAUCCAAUUUUGACCCUCCUUUCUUUCAAACUAUUUCUUUAAGCUUCUAAUAUUACUAAUAAUUUAAGACUAAUUAUUUUAUAGUUGUUAUCCCAAGAUAGACCUAAUUAGUAUCAUUAUUUUUAUUAUUGUUAUUAUUUUUAUUAUUAUUACUAACAUUAGAUAUUAUUAUUAUUAUUAUUAUUAUUAUAGUUGUUGUUGUUGUUGUUACUUUUAUUUUCAUUCUUAUCGCCAUUUGCGAAAAGCAUAUCGUUUUCCUUUAUUUAAUUAAAUAGUAAUGUUUCUUUAAUCCUAUGGUAUAUAAAUACUUGUUCCAAAAACAUUAUAGUUCUAUACGUAUCAAUUAGUGUAAAGGCUAUUUUUAUAUGUUCACAUUACGUAGUAUUAUAUAAUAUGAUUAUUAGAAUAUUUUAUAAAAAAUUAGAUGCCCAAAGAAAUACCCAAGAAGAUAGUAGGCUAAAAACUCAAAUAUUGUCUUCUUAAUCAGUUAGCCCAAGCCUAAGUCGGCCCAAAUCUGCCCAACAAGCAGUCCAAAAUCCUCCAGUUUAGCCCAACUAUAGAACACUCUAGAACCCCAUCAAAAUUAUGUCGUUUUGAUUAAUAUUCCAUACUUUAAUCUCAGUCAUAUAAGCUCUUAAUCCAACGGCUGAAAUUCAUUCUUUCAUUCUCAAAAACCUAGACACAUUUAGCAUUUUAAUUUUUCCAUUCUCUCUCCAAAACAGACGCUUCUUCUCCUACCCUUUCCUUUUCUUCACAAAUUCCAUUGUUACUCAGCCAUGGAAGACCAUUACCAUUUUUGAACAAGAAGCUCUGUACCUCAUUUAAUUUUCUUCAACAUCAAUGUUCAAAUUUCAAACGCUUAAGAGCUUUUCACUCAAUUUCGAAAUCCCGCCCAAACCAAGAACACUAGAAAUGAGCCUAUAAAUACCCGCCUUUGAAGAGAUAUUUGACCAAGCUGAGAGCCGCCCUUUUUACCCCAAAAAUUGAAGGUCUUCAGUUGUUGUCUUCACCCUUUGAGACCAAACUCAGAGCCACCGCUCUUCCCUUCUAUAAAUUAUUCUAUGCUUAUUAACUGUUAUUUAUCUCAGAAAAAGCUUUAUUCUUUUUGACUCCCCAGCUGUUUCUGUUGGGUAUUUACCCUUGCAUAAAAUCGAUUAUCUUCAUUUAUUUUAGUCGAAUAUGCUUUUGUCCGAGAGGAAAGAGUGGUCUUAAAAUCAGAGUUCGAUAACGCAUAUAAGAUCCGUGCCUCAGUUCGCUGCUCCGCAACAGGUCAGUUUUCUUUCUAAACUGUAAUCUUCCCUUAUUUUGUUAUUAGACGUAAAGUAUUUGUUGUUUCGUCUUCAGUAGAAAUCACAUUCCUUAGUGAGUCGUGUUCUAGUUGUUUACUUACUAAAAAUGAAGAAGACAUGUUUGUUAAAAUUACUCUACAAAAUGGGUUAUGCCGUUUUAGCCAGGAAUUAUGAUCUAAGUAUAAGAGUCAUGUUUUAGGAGUUGUAUAGAAACCAUGCCUUUAAGCAUUUUAUAAGAUAGACCAUAUAUUUUUUAAAAGAUUGAGUGGUCAAUGCUUUCUUCUUUUUAUCCUUCCCCUUUUCUUUCGAAUCUACUAGUUUUGAAUAUUUUUUUUGAUUUGGUUUAAAUUGAGAUUAAUUUAUGUCCAAUGUUCUAGAUAUCAUGAAAAUAAGUAUUCGUCAUAUGUUUGAUAAAUUAUUAAGUUAAUAUGACAUUCUUGUGAUUCUUGGGUUUGUUAAAAGUAGCAUGUUAAGCGUUUUUUAUCUAAAUAUAUAUAAAUCGUGAUUUAGUUGAUGCCUAUGUCAUGUUUAGGACUCAUUUUAUUUAUAAACUCACACUUAUUUACUAGAUGUUUAUAAAUACUAUGCCUAUAGGUCCCGUUAUUUUGCAGAGAAUUUUAAGAGAGUAGAAUUCAUGUCUAGUUACUAUGAGUAUGCAAAAUUUACCAUGCCAAAUACUGUCUUUUUUGUCUGAAUGUGGAAGACUAUUGGUUCUAGGAAUAUAUAAUGCUUUGUAGUCUAUUGUUAGAUUCGUUUAACCAUAGAAGAAUACGCCUGUAGAUUUAUUGAACUAUGAAAAUUCUCUAAUGGUUAUCACUAACUGUUGAAUACAUAUUGUUGGAUUGUAAACAUAUUAUAAAUUUAAGUCUUUCCUCUCGGUACUGAAAUCUUGAUUGCAUGACAGCAUAUCUUCUUUAUUUUGAAUCCGAUAAUUUAAAGUGCAUUCACUAUGUAUUCACCUUAAAUUUACCUUUAGUAUAGAGGAUAACUAACCAAAAAAGAUUAUCAUCAGUAAUAUCUACAAGAAAUAGGGACUUAUUUACUACUAAGGUCCUGUUAUAAAUCAAAAGAAGUAUAAUACUAGUUUUAUUGCCUUUAUAUGCUAUUACUGUUAUGGAUGACUCCUAAUUCUUUAUUUUUCCUUUUCUUUGCAUGCACACUUUGGAGCAAACGGAGUCUUAAUUUGAGACUCGCAGUAGAAUCUCAUAGAGACUCAAUGUUACCCCAUCACCACAUGGAGUCAUUACAUACCAUCUUCCUUGGAGUACCGGAUAGCAAAGAAAACAAGCGAAUCGCUUGGGAUCGCCUAUGGCGGCUUUGUUUUCUACUUACUCUAUCUGAUAUUUUUAAUCUUUGUGAUUUGUUUAUUUGAACCUAUGAUUGAUGAUUAAUUUUAUCAUUUAAAAUUACAACUUUAGUUUUGACAAAGUAUUUUAUUGAAAAAAGGACUUAAAAGAAUAUAAUGUGCUAAGAGCUUUGGGGAGAUAGUUACCAAUUGAGUCUUUAUUCUUUUUUAUAAACUUUUGAGAAAGUAUUUUUAUAAGCUAAGACAGAAUUUGAAUAUAUUUUCAAAUCAAUUGACUCUUUACUCAAAAGGACGUCUUCUUCACGAUAAGCUUUUUGAUAAAUUUGAGUUGAAUAUUUAACCAAACUACUUCGGAACUUUGAUCCAUUUCCUAAGUAAAAAAGACUCUUUUUCUCAAGUUUAGUUUUAAUAAAAUUUCAAUCCAACAUGUAAUGUUUUUUUUGGAAACCUAAGCAUAUUUUGCUAAUUCAAGAUAUUUAGAUUUGGAUUUGAAAUUUGAUUUCUUUUAAAAAACGUUCUAGUCCAUUGAGAUUCUUUCUGGAGUCACUUUUUUAGCCAUAAACUAACCUAAGUUUGCGGGUUAACUAUUUUUAAUGGAUCUUAAAAGGUGCCUUACCCCUUCCUUUUAAGAUAACUAGAACCCUUACCUAGAAUUUUUAAGACUAAGCAGACCAUAUAAAUUAGAGUUAACUUUAAGCAUUACUUAGUUACAAUUGGUGUCCUAAUUCACCAUUAACAUAAUUAGGUGGCGACUCUCUUAAUUAAUUAACCUCAGAAUUACCAAUAUGUUACACUCUAAUUUAACCCGUGUUAAAAAGGGGUAUAACACAUGGCACCCCAGUUUCUAUCAUUUCUGACCGAGGGGCACAGUUCACGGCUACCUUUUGGAAGAAAUUUCAGCAAAGUUUGGGUACUCAGGUGAAUCUUAGUACAACCUUUCAUCCUCAGACUGACGGGCAAGCAGAAAAGACUAUUCAGACAAUCAAGAAUAUGUUGCGCGCUUGUAUUUUUGACUUCAAGGGUAGCUGGGAUGAUCAUUUAUCGCUCGUAGAAUUUUCUUGCAACAACAGUUACCAUGCUAGUAUUCAGAUGGCACCACUUGAGGCUUUAUAUGGUAGGAGAUGUAGAUCUCCCCUUGGGUGGUUCGAGAUUGGGGAAGCUGAAUUGAUAGGACCAGACCUCGUGCAUCAGGCUAUGGAGAAGUUUAAGAUCAUAAAGGAACGAUUGAAAACUGCUCAGAGUCAUCAGAAGUCCUAUUCGGAUGUUCGCCAUAGGGACUUUGAGUUCAAAGAAGAUGAUUGGGUAUUCUUGAAGGUCUCCCCCAUGAAGGGCAUAAUGCGAUUUGGAAAGAAAGGGAAAUUGAGUCCGAGGUAUCUCGGACUAUACAGAAUCAUUCAGAGGAUCGGUCAGGUGGCGUAUUAGCUAGAGCUACCAUCUGAGAUGUCAUUAGUGCACCCAGUAUUCCAUGUGUCUAUGUUGAAGAAUGUAGUUGGAGAUCUGUCGGAUAUUGUGCCAGUUGAGAUUAUAGAGGUUAAUGAAGAGUUGUCAUAUGAAGAAAUUCUAGUUUCUAUUCUUGAUAGGCAAGUCCAAAAACUAAGAAAUAAAGAAAUCUCUGUAAAAGUGUUAUGGCGAAACCAGUAGGUUGAGGAGGCCACUUGGGAGGCUGAGGAAGAAAUGAAGAAGAAGUACCCUCAUUUGUUUGAAUAACUAUGUAAUCUUUCUGUGAAACUAUUGCCUAUGAAUUUUGUAUCACUUGUGCAGUUAAUGUUAAAGGUGUUCCUUUUGGUUAUAUGUUG